UUAUUUUACGUUAUCCUACUAUAUUAUUGAAGUGUUGACAUACAUAUAUUAAAAAAUAAAGUUCCAAGACCUAUAAUUUAAGAUAUAAUGACGAUAAUUAGGAUUUAAUAAUUACGUUUGGAUAUUUUCUAGAAUUUUUCUUCUGUAUUUAUUUUGCAAAAUAUUUUCUAAUAGCUUUAUUAACAUUUAAUUUUUUUAUACAUUUAUUUUGCAAAAUAUUUUCUACGAAUUUAAUCAGCCAAAUUUUUUUCUUUUUCUUUGAUUUUUUUAUAAUUUUUUCCAACAUUUAUUUUGCAAAAUAUUUUCUAAAAAUUUAAUUAUCUUAUUAUCUUUACAGUAUAAUAUAUAGUCUCAAAAAACUUAUACUUUUAAAUUGCAAAUUGUCAGUUUUAAUUUUUAAUUUUUAAAUUCCAAGACUCAAAUUUUAAAUUCUAAAAUACUAAAUUUUAAAUUUUUAGCCUAAAAUUCAGGGCGAAAUUUAAUUUUGAAAUUUUAUAAUUCAAAAACUUUAACACUUAAAAUUUAAAUUUUAAAAUUCAAAAUUUUAAAUUUUAACUUAAAGUUCAUUGUAAAAUUUAAAUUUUAAAAUUUUAAGUUUAUAGUUUUAAAUUUUAAAAUUUUGACAUGUAAAAGUUUAAAAUUUUAAAAUGGAAAAUUAUACAUCUUAAUUUUUAAUUUACAAAUUUUAAAUUUUUAGAAAAUAAAAUUUAUUUUUUUAAUUUCAAUUUUGAAUUUUGAAUUUUAAAUUUUAUUUGUUAAAUUUUAAAUAUUAGAAUUUAAAUUUUAAAUAUUAAAAUUUGAAAUUAAAAUUAAAAUUAAAAUUUAGAUUAAAAAAGAAAAGUGUGUCGGCUUUAUUUUUUGUGUCGCUUUAUUUUUUGUCAUGGACUCAAGUGCCCCCACCUAGGCUACAAUACAUUUAUCUUACAAGAUGUUUUCUUAAAAGCUUACUUAUUUUAUUAUUUGGAAGUUGUUGCUAUAUAAGCCCUUCCAUCAACAACAACAUCACACAUACUCAUUUCUAAAAAAAAAAAUAUCAUACAUACUCGUGCUUCCUCCCACCUCUCUUCCUCCCACCUCUCCAACCCCUAGUCGUUCCAUCCUCCCAGGCUCCUACUUCGUGCUUCCUCCCACCUCUCCAACCCCUAGUCGUUCAUCCGGACCUCUUGAGCGCUCCUAGUAUGGAUGCAGAUGAUAAUAGAAAAAUAUUACACAUUUUUAAAUAUUACAAUAAUUUUUUUAUUUAUCUUAAAUUGAUUUUUUUUAUUUUAGUUACUUGGUUUAGAUAUUUUUAGUGAAAAAUAUUGUAAACCCUAAAGAAGGCCUUCUCUUAUUUUUCGGGGGUUGUGCGGCUUAUGUAUAAUUUUUUAAGAAUUAUUUGCACAUUGGUCCUCAAUUUUUUCACUAUUUUUUAUUUUGAUUCUCUUCGCAUUCAACGAUCUGCAAAGCGUGGGAGAAGGUGACAUUUAUGGAAGAUCCAGAAGUAUCGAGACAAAUACGCUCCAAGAAGGCUAGUAAAAUAAGCAACCUGAUUCUUUUUGGUUUCUAGAUACGCUGGUUAUCCAAUUUGUGAAUUUCCGCUGGCCUCUAAUUCCAACAAUUGGUAUCAGAAUCGUUUUGCUUGCUUUCACCUUAUGAUCAUACCUGUGAUGCUUAUUUUGUAUGUAUGAUUCAUUGAUCAAUUUUUAUAUAUAGAUCUAUUAUACAAUUUUUUUUUAUUCAUUUCCUAUGUGAAAUUAUUUUUUUUUUAAAAAAAGCUACUUAGUUUUAAUUUUCUUCCAAGUUGAUCAUGAGACAAGCAAAAAAAACAUACAUUAGUUAUAUAUAUAUUUUUUUUUUCUUUCUACUUUGUGCAUUAAAAAAAAAUAAAAAAAUUACAUCUCUUGUUCUGUUUUUAAUCUUUUUUGCUUGUGUAUCAACUGCAAGGGUAGCUGUGCAAUACGGGCGGGCGAUAGACCAGCACGCGGGCGCGGCCCGGCCCGCUGCAGGCACACGGGAGUGGACUCGCGUGCCUAAUGCGGGCACCAGGCUCGGCCCAGCCCAUGCCUGAACGCGAGCUUACGAGCUACGUCCCGCAUCUGCUAGACUCGGCCCUGCCUACGCUCAGGCGGCGGUUUAUUAUUAUUUAUUUAUUUAUCUUUACUCAUUAAAAAAAUUCUAUAAUUUUUUAAUGUUCCUAUGGGGUGCAAAUUUUUCUGUGUGGUACAUAUUUUUUUAUACUUGUGUAGGAUGCAUGUAUUGCUUAUCCUAUGUGAAUGAAAAUGUUAAUACUUGUGUAGCAUAUUGUGAUUAUAUGAUUGUGUGUUUUUUGGCACAUAAGUAUUUGUGUUUUGUCCGUGUUUUCAACAAAAUUUAAUUUUAUAAAAACUGGGUUCGAUGUGUGCAGCAUUCUUGUAGAAUUUUUUUUUUUUUCAAAUGUACAUUUUUAUAGUGAUGUAAUAGAUUUUAUUCUACAAAUGUAAUGUAACAAUCAAGGCCAUAUAAAGAAAUAUGUUUUGCACAGCGUCGACAUUUUUCAAAUUAAAUUUUGGUAUAAAUAUUUAUAUUUUAUUUGUGUGAUGAUAUUAUAGAGAUAAUGUGAUAUAUUGAACCUUAGCAAAUUGGCAAUGUUACAGUAUAAGUUUAUGCUUGAUUGAGUUGAAAACGUUUUGCUCAAAAUUGACGUAAAAACGGACUUUGAAACUCAAAAUUUAUAUUAUGGAGGACUAAAGUUGAAUACCUAGUUAUAUAGGGCCUUGUGGGCAAUUGUGUUUAAUUAGGCGGUGGAGUCCACGUGCUCCUAUCCUUAUCCUCUUUUUUUUUUGUUUGUUGCUUUAUAUUGCCAAGUUUGAGCUAAUUAAUUAGCAGGGACUUGGUUUCAUUCUUACGAGCGAGCGAGCAAGCGAGUCGAGUGCGUGCGUCGCGGUUGCGCCGUUCGAGGCUAGGCGAGUAUGACACCCCAAUAGUCCCACAUCAGAUGGGAAUGGGGUUGUCAUUGGGUUUAUAAGAGACUUAGACACUGGUAAUAAUAACUGGGCUUAAGCAUUUUGGGCCGGUUGUUUGGCCCAACGAGUUAUUAUUGCUAGUGGGCUGGGUCGUUACAGCGAGCGCGUGUUUUCCUCUCUUUUCGACUUCUCACCGUUGUGGAUUAGCGUUCAAGGUAGGUUAAUAAUAUGCAUAACGGAUUCUACGGAUUUCCUCCUAAGCCUAUAUGUAACAGCAUGUAUUUUUUCGCUUUGUAUAGUAUGUUUUAGUUGCUCGAUUCGUUGAUUUACUGUGUUUCUAAAUCAGAAUUGGAGCUUAAAAUAUUAGUUAAAUUAUACAUGUUGGACUUGGAAUUGACUUAGAAGAAAACUAGCGAUUCUACACCGUUAUAUGUUAAAACUACCAGAUUUAGCUUUAGGAGCUGUAGUUUGUUUGUAUCACCGCAGGUUGUGGACGGUGGAUACUUAUAUUAGUGUAGAAUGCAUUUAUACUCGUGCUGCGAUGCUGAGCUGGAGUAAUCUUCAACUGUAGGUUUUGCACUGUCAUUUCUAAAAACUAUCAGAUAGCUCCUUAAGCUGUUGUGCUUUGUAUCCACGCUGUUAGUGCGCAUUUGAUACUGAGAUAGCUUCUGAAGCUGUUGCAUUUCGUAUCCACGCUGUUAGUGCGCAUUUGAUACUCGGAUAGCUUCUGAAGCUGUUGCGGUUCAUAUCCACGCUGUUAGUGUGCAUUUGAUACGUGGAUAGCUUAGGAGCUGUAGUUUGCUUAUAUCGCCACAGUCUAUUGGCGGUGGACACACAGGAUAGUGUAGAAUAUAUUUACACUCAUGCUGAGAUGCCAAGCUUAAUUUUUACUGCAGUGUUUAGGCUAUUCCGGACUGUCGGGUGCCGUUGAGGUUGACGGUGGACCCAGAUUAUUAUUUUUGCAUCAGAUUAUGCCGAGGGCACGUGAGUUUGGUUGUUAGACCCUGUUUACUUGACUAUAGCCUGUGAGAGCCUGAUUGAGCUUGACAGAGAUACGCUUGCAUACUCGGUUAGGUAGCGCCCACGAGUGCCACUCCGGAGUCGGGCUUUGUGCGUUUGCAUUGGUGUCGUUGCGUCCUGAUUGGACUUGCUCUCCACGAAUGUCCUAUUGUGGAGGUAGUUGUGUAGCUUCAACAGGCGGGACGGAUGAGUUCACAGUCCCUAGCGAGAUUGGGUCAAGAUUUGUAUUUUUUACAGAUAGUUAGUGUUGGAUAGUGAUAGUAUAGUGGCAUAUAGCUAUAAAUUUGUUCCAGCUUCCUUUACUAUCUUUGAACAUACAUCUGUAGACUUAGUGGGUGAGCCAUUGAGGUCGGUAGCGGUACCCACUGAGGACUACUUCCUUUUGCAGUAGUUCUCACGCCCAGUUGUGGAUCUUUUGGAGAGCCUUCUUCUUCGACUGCUGCUGUCGCGGAGACAGAUCGUCGAAAGAGAGUCGCGAGUUAGAUCCCUUCCCAGUUGGUGUUGAUCUAGAAUAUACCAGCUACAGGUAGUUGUAGUUUUGUCAUGCCCCGAGUCCGAUUCUUUUGGCCGGUUCGAGCGUGUCGAACAAACGCCAAACGGACAGAGCCUCCCCUGUCGGCCCAAGACUCAACAACAAGUAUCAAUAGAGUAAAAUUUUGCACAUACGGAAGCAAACACAAUGGCUUACACGAGGACAAGCAAUAGCCAAUAGUGAAAGUAAUAAACUACACAUAUGAAAUCAUUUACAUUUUUGCAUCAUUUCUUCUCUUUUACAUCACAUGAUAUCUCAAAAUAUAAACUUUGCAUUGAAACAUAAACCCUUUUUACACCAUUCAUUUAACAUGUUCAUAAUACUAAAAUCAUCAAAAUACAAAAGAUGAUAACUAAAGGGUAUGCAACUAAACCAAAAUGUGAAACCAACUCAGGUGUUCUCUAACUAUGGCGCGAUACCUUUACAGCGAUCGUCCGCUGGUUCGCUCGAUUCCGGCUCUGUGGAAAUAGUGGGGUGAGAACUACAACAAAGUUCCCAGUGGGUUCGGCAACCGACCACGUCGACUUUCCCACUGGGUCUAAAUCAGACAUAAUAGAAGAAAAGAGAUAGAGAUAGGAACCAAACUAUACAAAUGCAGCUAAUAUGCCUGAACAAUAAAUAAUGCAAUGCUCAAUAGUAUGCUCAUGAUGAAUGCAAGGUCAUAAUAUCAUUGCUCAAUCUCUUGCUAACCCGUAGGUUUCGCCCUUAACAACUCACCAACUCAAAUCCCAGUAUCGGGGAGGCUACUACACCCGACGGGACCGUCCUCUGGGGAGGCUACUACACAGUGAUGAUAACUCCGGAGCACAUCGCCUGAGGGGGAGCUACCACCCUCGAGUAAUGACUUACAGGUGAGUAUGAUUCAAUCCUUAACUAUAAGGAUGUCAAGUUCAAUCCAUUCCUUAACUAUAAGGAAACAAUACACAUAUGACCCUUAACUCUCAGGUUAUUAUGUCAUAAUGUCGCUAUCACACUUUUACUUGCAUUCUUUUACUUUCACUAGUGUUAUAUACACUACUAUAUUCUUGUACACAUGCCACACUUAUUUUCUAAGUGUUCCAACUCUAGCAUUCUCGACUCAUCAUUGUCACUUUCUACUUCUAUGUCAAGAUGUCACAUUUGUUUACUAAGUCCACUAAGUUCUUGUCACUUGUCAUGCAUAAAAGGGUUUAUAAAAUUCUCACAUUCUUGCUAAUAACUCGCAUGCAUUUGUACUCAAAACAUGCAAUGAAAUGCUCACAUAUAACCCUACUAUGCAAUUUUAUGCUUAAUACACAUAUACUCAAAUAUUACACUUUAGACAUAAAAGGAAUUUCGAGGUCCUCGGUAUGCACCACUUACCUUAGAUGGUUCAGAGGAUGCUACGGUGAAUUUCUCGGGAUUUUUGAAGCCCUACUUUUUCGCCUGCGGCAAAACGAAGCCAAAUUAGGCUUUUUCUCAAUAACUUUAUCUAGACCUUUUCAUAACGUCAAACGGAGUUGCCCCAAGCGUCGGGGAUACCCCCAAUUAGGUUUCUAUAAGGUCAAUUUGCCUUAGAAACUUUCGGAGGCAAAAACCCCAAAUUUAGUGCCCUAAUCCCACUAUUGGCUCAAACCUAGGUUUUGAUCUCUAAAACAAGCAAAAGAGAGUUUGUCCAACACCUAGAAGUUCAUCUAGAACUAUCCAAACGAAUUCUAGGGCUUAGAAUGCAAGCACUAAAAAUCCACCAUUAGAGCACUUUGAAGAAACUAGGGUUUCAUGUGUUCUAUAGCUCCAACUAGGUUGCUAUACUCAUUAGAAGAUCAAAACCUAAUUUUUUAAGACAUAAACCCAAACCCUAGAUGAGCUUUUACCUUAAAACUCACCUUAGCCAAAAGCUAUCCCUAAGUCCACCUUGUAGGAGAGCCCUAGGUCUUCUCCAAGCCACCAAAAUCAAGCUUCUCCUUCAAAUCCCCUCCAAUUCCACCUUUUAGAGAGCUCUCUAGAGAGAGAAAAUGAGAGAAAUGAGAGGGAGGGAGGGAAUGGCUGUGGGAGAGAGUGAGGAGGGCUAUUGGGGUCUUAACAUGUUGUAACAAUUAUAAUAAAACCCUCCAAAUAUUUGUAUUUGCAGUAGUUUUUAUUUUGCUGUCAGACCCAAAGUGUACCGGUACACUUUAGGGUGUUACCGGUAACACGAUUACGCAGAGGCAAACCUGAGAGCAGCUCUCUCAGUUACGCGGGAUUUGUACCGGUACAUUUUCAAAGUGCACCGGUACACUUUCAAUUUUUCUCAAAACCCAAGAGUUACUCUUCUUGGGCUGCAAUGCUUUAUCGGUAACAACUCGCUGGUUAUACCGGUACACUUUGCCCAUAAUACUGUUUUAGCUCCGAUUCAACUCUACUUCGCGCCGGUCGAUGCUAAAACCAUUCUAACACCUCUUAAACUCAUUUUUAGCCCUUCCAACAUUGUUGGAAUGCUAAAUGGGACUUACCCAACUAUUUCUUUCGCUUUGCUCACAUUUUAAAUCGCGCCGAGCGAUACUAAAACUUGCUUAACACCCUCGGGACUCGACUUUGACCCUUCCAACGUUGUUGGAAUGUCAACUGGAGUUUGUCCAUCUAUCUCUCUCGACACUUUAACCAAUUUGGCUAAAGUUCGAUAAUCGCUAUUGAGGUUUCGAUACAACAAGUUUUUGGGUUAUUAUACAUACUGAUAUUGUAUCUCGCUGGAGCGAGCGUUUUGGAUACCUGGAUGCUUUUGUAUGUAUAGUGAACCUCUGUUGUUAUUUAUGCUUUUCUCUUUAGUAGCUCUAUACUACUGGUUGUAGUGUAGUAUGAUUACAGGUACAAUUACAACUAUCGCUUCAUAUAUAGGGAAAAUUCCUUUGUAUACGGCAGAUUUGUCAGAGUGCCCAGAAAAACGAGUAAUCCGGGGCGUGACAGAUAAGUUCUCAAAAUACUUUUUUUUUUUAAAAAAGAAGGAUGUAUUUUUUUUUUAAUUGAUGAGUUUCAAUAUUUUGGAUAAGUUCCAAAUUAUAGAAAAAUUAAUAAAUUUGUAAUAUUUUGAAUCAACACUGGGUGAUGCUUACAAGUAUAGCGAAAUUUUCGAUCCUAUUGUGUGAGGAAUAAUAUUUCAAUCUUGUUAUUUUUUUUAAAAAAUGUACCUAAUAUCCAAAUCUCUUUUUGAAUGUAUUGAAAUGGCUUCCAAAAAUAUCAUAGCUGAUCUCGUCCGGGGUGAUUGAGCUCUCUCUAUAUAGAUGUAGGCAAGUUUAUUGGCAAGUGCCGAGAGAGAGAGAGAGAAAUAGGGAAGAGGGGAGUAUGGUAGGUUGCUAUAAUAACCAUCCGUACUUCUGACGGGAUGAAAGAGAAAGGAGGAUGGAGAAUGACAGUGAAGCAGGGAGGGGAAGGGGAGCCAUCGUUAGGGUGGGGUGGGGUGGGGAGAGAGGUUAGGGUAGGUUAGAGAUUAGAAUAGGCUAUGAUGAUUACCAUCCAUAUAUAUGGACAUCAGGUGACCAACCCCUAGCGGCGGUGGGGAUGAUAGGGAGUGUUACGCCCGGACCUCAGCGGAAGCCUACCUAAUGCGUGUACAGACCCACUAUAUGCACAAGGUGGCUCCCGGUGCCUACAAGGAGUCUACAAUAAACAAUUAAAAGAAUGAAUAAGGAAAUGUUCCGGCUCGUGCCGUGUCUGACCCCGUGGUAGUCAACAUUCCCCCUCUAGAAAUAAGCCUUUCCCACGGCAAUCUAUUUUGGCGCCCAAUCCCGUAUGGGCGAUCUGUCGUCGCAAGACCAACUCCGGAGUGCUGGUUUAUAGGGAGUGACCCUUAUUAGCAUUGCCAAGUUUUCCACCGACUUGUGACUUAAUACAUCCGCCACAACAUUAGCUUUUUUCAGGUGGUAUAGGAUAGUCUAGUGAGGAGGGGAGAAAGGGGAUGGACUGCUAGAAGGAGGUGGAUGCCCAUCGCAAACAGAGAAAGAAGACAGCGGGGGAGGGGAGUACGCUAACGUUUUCUCGUACUCCGACACUCCUCUGACAACCCCUUGGAACGUAUGUACGGAGGAAGCGGAAGGUCAUGAUAGAGUGAGUGUGACAACCCUUCGCACGUUGUGUGAUCUGUGGAGCUAGGCGUACGACAGAGGAUAUGUUAUAGUACUUGCUAAAUCUGAGCCGCUCUAGAGGGGAAGAAAUUGGGGGUGAAAGAGAAGGGAUCGCGGAUGAGAGAGAAGGAAGGGAUCGGCGAUGAGAGAGAACAAAUCGGGAGAGACAAGGCAGGCGACAUGUAAGCCCUCUCAGCAAUAGAGGGGGGUAACGGAUUGCGGGUAAGAGAGAGGAAAUGGAUCGGAAGAAACGGGUCAGACGACACGUAACCCCUCCCAAAACUCAAGCUUUGAUAUAAGUAUUAAUAUUUUUUCUCCCUCACUUCACUUCACUAGAAUUGACUUCGCUCCAUGAUGAAGUGAAGUCAAUGUCGAUAUUUUGGAUGAACUUAACAUUCGAUUCGAUCGUACUAAUAUUACUUUCAAUCAGACAACAAAAAUAAUUAAACAAAAAUAAUUAAUUUCUGUCAAUUUUUUUUUUUCUUAUGAAACAAAUUCUUUUAACUUGUGUGCUCAACAGACGAGCCCAGUAACCAAAUCGCGCCCAUCAUUCGCUCGUCAUAGCCCGUCGCUAGUGAUAAAGAGAGAACGAGCAAACAUAUCAUCGUCAUUAAUAAUGCUCGUACUCGCUCGCCCUCCCCCAUCUCCUCCCCUCAACCUCUCCCUCCGCUCUCCCCUCGCCCAUGGCGAUCUCAACCCCAACCGCCUCCUCCUCCUCCUCCCCUUCCACGCCCCUCCUAACUCCAUGGCCGCGGCGACGGGAACGAGAAGAAGAAGACGACGAAGCGGAGGAGGAAGGGGAGGUCUGGAGGUGACGUGCAUGGCGAACCAGCGGAGGGUGCGCAUGGUGGCGAAGCAGAUCCAGAGAGAGCUCUCCGACAUGCUCCUCACGGACAAGGUGCUCCAAUACGCCGUCCUCCCCGAGGCCUCCCUCGGCGCCGACCGAUACCUCUCCUCCCUCACCACCAUCAGCGACGUCGAGGUCUCCGGCGACCUCCAGGUCCGCAUCCGCCCAAACCCUAACAUGAUCCAUUUUGUUUCGAUUAAUUUGGUUAUUAGUUAUUAGUUAUUACUAGUUUGUUGUGCCUCUUUGGAGACGAAAUCGUAGCGUGUUUUAGGCUCUAGGGUGUAAAUUUGUGAGCUUUUAUUUGGGUUGCCCGUUAACUGUUUGUGUUUAUGCCGCUGGGAUUCUGCACAAGAAAAUUUGGAGGCAGGGUUAGAAAAUUUGGGACCUUCUGCUGUAGCGGAAAUCAGAACUGUAAUUUUGAGGGCCAGAAGUAGAAGCCCCAAUGUGGAGAUUCUAAUUUCCUGUAGAGAGAACCUGUUGAGGGGAUUUAGGGGCUGUUUGGUUUGACGUAAAACUACGGAAAAAAAAUUUUCGGUGGAAAAAAAUUUUUCGGAGGAAAAUAAAUUUUACGCUCUUAGCGUUUGGUUUAUAGGAAAAAAAAGUAGUUUUCCAUUACGGUUGUUUGGUUGAAAGGAAAAGAAAGGAAAAGAAGGAAAAAGUUAGGUAUGAAUAAAAUAUUAUUAUAUAUAUAUAUAUUUUUUAUUUUAUAUAUUAUAUAUUAUUAAUAUAUAAUAAUUAUCAUAUUACUAAUAUUAUAAUUUAUAUUUGUAAAUAAAAUAUAUUUAAAAUAUAUUGUACAAUAAGUAUAUAAUAUAAUAUAAUAUAAUAGUAUAUAUAUAUUUAAUACUAUAAAAUAAAUUUAUAAAUAAUAUUUAUAAAUAAAAUAUUUUAUAUAUAUAUAUAUAUAUAUAUAUAUAUGUGUGUGUGUGUGUGUGUGUGUGUGUGUGUGGAGUCGGUGUGGACCACUCACAUGGUCCACGAGCUCUUACAUGAGCUUGUGGACCCCGAUCCUAAGCCGCUCAUGGACCCCGAUCCUGAGCCGCAAUUUUUCACUGUGAGUUUUCGUUUUCCGCCGCGAUUUGGCGGAAAACAAAAAGCUUGCUUUUACAUAGAAUCCAUAAAAUAAUUUUUCCGGCAAAAUUUUUUUACAUCAAAACAAACGCUGGAAAAGCAAUUUUCAAGUCCGAAAAUUUUUUUUCAGGGUAACCAAACACACCCUUAAUGUAGUGUUUCUCGUAAUAGCUCUGCUCACAGUACUUCAUCAAACAACAGUGUGCCCUACAGCAGGACCAAACAGGACCUUAGUUAUGUUUUGUAUAUUUUGGAACACAGAAGCUUUGUUCAACAUUGUUUGGUCCUGACAAUGGUCGUCACCUUUUAUGUUUUUGGGCAAACUUUAAUUUGACACCCUGUAUAACAUACUUUUACUUUACCAUCAUGUGGUUUAAAAAGUAUCACUUACCUAUCCCGUGGUAUAAUGUACUUUUACUUUAUCAUCAUAUGGUUAAAAAAUUUUCACUUAACUAUUUUGUGGUUUUAUUUUUGUUUCACCAACAAAGAAAUCUAUUGUCAAAUAGGAUAGUAAAGUAAAUUUUUUUUUGAAAACCAUAGGGUGGUACCCUUUUUGGUAGCAGACCUUACAGUGAAACAAAAAAAAAUUACAAAAUAGUUAAAUGUAACUUUUUGAAAUAUGGGGUGACAAAGUGAAAACACGCUAAAUCAUAGGGUAGUCAAGUGCAACUUUUUGAAUCACGAAAUGGCAAAUUGAAAAUACGCUAUACCGCAAGGGGCAAAUUGAAGUUUGGAACAAAAAAAUGGCAUGUGCAUUGGUAACUAUUGCCAAUCAUAUCAUUCACUCCUUUUUUGAGUUAUUGUUGUAGUUUGGUGUUGUUUAUCUAACCUAUAGUCGAUUAUUUUUCCUAGAUGUGUGACUUUUAACGCAAGAAUCAUGCUUUGAUGAACCACUAUAUCAUUUCUGCUCUUUUGGGAUUAUAUUCUAAGUCUCGCUAGCCAUCAUGAAAAACCAUUGAAACCUAUCAUCACAUAUCACUGCUAUCACCUAAAUGUGGGAAUAGGAUUGUCUUCAUGUGGUUUACUUUAGUCUGCUAUCCAAAUUAUUCUUGUACACACUUCAGUUCCUCAUCUUGCUCCACCAACCACAAUGCAGCAUAACUACCAUGUAGUCAUAACACCACUGGAAGAGCCCUUACCAGCGUAGGGCAAGUCAUUGGGGUCAAUGACUUAACCAAGCGUUUGGUGCUUGAACCAAAUUUCCAAGAGGUUAGCCAAGUCAAGCUGUUGAUCAGUCAAAAGCACCUCCGAUUGCGAUUUGGCUUCUUGAACAACCCUCGAUUGCGCCAAGAUUAAGGGAUUCUGUUGAGAAGGGAUCGACUCAACCGGGUUCUCUAGCAAUAUGUAAAAUGAACCGAACUUUGGGACUUAAGAAUUUAUUUGGCUAAAACUCGAGCUGAAGUAGCUGCCGAACUAAUUAUAUUUUAUCAAUAGGGGAAAAUUACAGGGAUCAUGGACACUAAGGCUCGGAUUACAGAGGAACUAAGGAUUAGAACUCUAAAACUAGAGGCUACUUCUAGGAAAACAAUAGAUGCUGGAAAUGGAAGGAUUAUAGAUUACUCCUACGAAAUCAGAAGUGCUGGGAAUAGAAAGGAAUUGAAAAAGCGGUAGUCUUGUGUGCGGAAAAACCCUUAUUGCAUGCAACUUUUCACUAUUUAUAUUUUAUAGAACUCUUGUCAGUCCUCAGUUAACCUGCGGUUAUUGAACAGUUCGUGUCGUGGAGAGUGCUCUACCGUUGGUUAUGGCAUUGCUCCCCACCUUCUCAACCGUUCCUGCUCAAAAUUUGUUCAUCUUUGGACGAUUCCUUCUCAACUCCUAGUGCACCACGUGUCAUCUUUUUAUCUGUCCACGUUAGCCAACCAUGUGAGCUGAGCCGUCGACCAGCUGGCGCUAUUUUUCUUGCGCCAACACCAAGAUAAAAGAAACUAGAAGUUAAGGCCUCGUUUGUCCAUGGUUAUGUUUUUCUUUUUCUAUGGUUAUGUUUUUUUUUUGUCUUUUAGAAACUCACACUAUAUGCAAUUUGAUUUGCGAAAAUCAACUUCUCUUUUCUUGUUGUUGUUGGUUAGCUACAAACUUAUCGUAUUAAGAAAAAACAAGGCAGCAAAAGAAAAAAAAGAGCAAUUAAUAAAUUUUUGUUUAGAUUGCCUACACACCUCAUAAAUGUAUAGAAUGCAAGUUAUCUACCAUCCAUUGGUAUAUUCGAAUAUUCGAUUGCAUAGAACUUCAUGGAAAGAAAAUGAAAAUAUGUAAGCAUGACUAAAUGAGCCCUAACAUUUAGGUUUAUGAGAAGGAAACAAAUAACUAAAAGGGCUUGAAUGGGGCAACAAGCCACAUGACCAUUAAUAGCACGCUCGAUCCUAAAGAAAAAUAGUGUGGAGCUCCUUUUGCCAACUUUUGCCUCCUUGCUCAUUGUAUUUUAGCUCUUAAAUCUAUCGGAACUGUUAGUUGUUCUUGAUCCACAGAAAGCAAGAUUCUCAAGUUCUAGAAAGCCUUAAGGUUUAUUGUUUUGAUGUUUACAGAUGUUCAGUAAAGGUAGGUUGUUUGAGGUUUUUAAAUUUUGGGAGCUGCAGUCCUUGUUGAUUUUUGGAUUUGGGGAAGUUUUGGUAUAGUCUACAGUAGCAAAAAGGAUGGUGUUUUAGGAUGAUGAUUGCUUGGUGUAGAAAAAGUGAAAAGGACAGUAAAGGACAAAAAGAGGUAUUGAGGAGACAACUAUAAUUUAAAUUCUCUCAAGGUCUUCCGGAUUCACUCUGAGCAGGUGGAAGAAGACAUGUCCAUUAACUACUAAAGUCUUUUGUUUCUCUUUUCAUAUGUGCAAUACUAAUUUCAGAUCAUCAUCUUUGACUGAUUCAACCAACAUACUAGUUGAUUUUACCUUCUACUUUGACAAAUAUUAAUUAAGAUUGAUAAUGAUAUGAUUAUAGAAAGAAUCUCUCUUAAAAGAUUAUUUUGAUGAACUCCUUAGAUUUAACCUUUUGGCUUAUUCUGGUGAACAUCGUAGUCAAAAUCACCUUUUCCAUGCUCUAAAUUAGAGAGCUAGGCACAACAGUCUCUCCUUCAUGCACAUAUGAUGUUUCUGAGUAACCUUCUGGAUAAAGGAUUACUUGUGCACCAUUAGUCCUUAAAACUAUAAUCUAAUUUCCACAUCUGUCCUUGAUAUUUAAACAUAGAAUUCCGACACCCCAAAUGAAUGCAAGUCUUUAUUUAUUUAAUUUUUUAUUUUUUAUUUUUAUUUUUAUUCUCAUAACCUUCCAUUUGAGGUACCGACAGAAGCUUGCUAUGUUGUUGUGAGUGUGAUAACUACAUUGGCAUUUUCUUUAAAUAAACAUGGAAAUUCGAAAAUGUGCUACUGCUUCUUGGUGUAGAGAAGGAGCUCCAGAAUCCUGACCAAGAAGGCGGUAUUACAUGGGUCCAAUCUGAAAAUUGUAACAGCUCUUAGUUUGCACAAAUUUGUUAAUGGACGGUUUAUCGCAUGUCAAUUUUGUUAAUAGUUUCAGUUUGUCCAUCUCCAUAGAACUUAAGGCACCUUUUUUUUAUUUAUUUUUUUUUCUGUAGGUUGUAAAAGUAUAUGUAUCUGUUUUUGGUGAUGAAAGAGGAAGAGAGGUAGCUAUUGCUGGGCUAAAAGCAAAAGCCAAGUAUGUACGGAGCGAACUGGGUAGGCGGAUGAAGUUGCGACUGACUCCUGAAAUACGUUUCAUAGAAGAUGACUCUUUGGAGAGAGGAAGCAGGGUAUGCUUUAUUUUUAUGCAAUCCUGGAUUUUUCUCCACAGCACGAUAGAUUUUUUUUAUUUAUUUUUAUCAUUUUGCUUCUUAAUGAUAUAUUCUGGAGGUUUAUUAACUGCUGGAGCACAUUUUCUUACAUUUUUAUCUAUUAAUGAAUGAUCGCAUUUAAUUGCCUUUUUGUAUAGCUUACUGUAGAUUGCCUCGUUUUUCUUGAAUAUUUCUUGACAUUGCUAGUUAUGCCUAAUUUGGCCUAUCCUAAAAUAAAGCAUUUCUGAGUAAUUGAAAUAGUCCAAUGAGGUGGUUAUCCAUCAACCUGUCUUAAGGAGGUGUUUGUUCGUGGCCUUAUUUUAAUUUUUUUCUUUCCUAUUGGUGAUUAUAGUUGCCUGCAGGAAUUAGUUUAGGAACUUUUUCCAUAAGAAUUGUGCUUCUUCUGCAUCACGUGUGCCUAAUUUUGAAGUUUAGUUACAUGCAGCUUCUAUGAAAUGCCCCCCUUUGUAUCAAGCUUCACUACUGUAUAAUAAUCUAAUGUUUGAGAACAGAGAAAAAACUAUGUACAUAAAACAGGUCUUGUUUACUGCUAUGUUAAGCUUGCAUAACUGAAUUAUAUAAGUUGCUUACCAUUGUUUCCUGACAAACUGCUGUCUUGUGUAAUGCCUGUACAAAGCUGUCUAUCAACAGCUUAUGUCGGUUGAGAUUUUUUGAAACCCCCUAGUCCUUGUUUAGAUUCUGGGUUUGAGUGCAAAAUGGGUAAAAGAGGUUGAGUUUUCUACUUUAAUUCAGGUGUUUAGGUUUAUUUCGAGAAAGGCCAAGUCAAAACCUAUACUCAUUACAGGCCCAUAAAGUAGUAGAGAUUAUUUGAUUUGCUUGUGUUGCGAUAUAGGAUAGUCUUAAAGCUGAACUUUAACGGACAGUAUUAUUCUGUCUCAUUGUAAUUUUUGAAUCCAAUUUUGUGUUUCACGUUAUCAUCUGCUUCUUUUGACUGCUUUAGGAUUUUCAUUGGUUAGCUAUUUUAAUCGUCAUUACUAUGAUUCACAUGAUAGAAAAAUAACACAUACAGAUGCUAUAGGCAAUGGUGAACUUAUACUGUUGAAAUAGUAAAUAGGCUUCUGCCUAUUAUUGUAUCAUCUGAAUUGGAUCGUAACAAGCUUAUGCAUUAUUUUAAGAGAGAGAGCCUGUAGGCCAGCUCUUAGAUUGUGUCGUUCAAAUAGAAAUAUGCUAAUAAUGCAAUUUCUUUUCAUCAUUAUGUUCCCAUUAAAAAGCAUAUAUUGUAGUCCAAAUCAAAUGUUGGCAUCGUUUUCCUUGUAAAUCAAUUUUCCUCGUUUAUGCCCUUGUCAUGUAGCACUGAACACUUCUUAUUGCUCAAAUUGUCAACCACAGGUACUUGCUAUAUUGGACAGAUUGAAAGAUGAGAAGAAGCGCAUAGAAGAAGACGAUGAACAAUUUGAACAAUCCAACAUAUCUGAAGAAGAUGAAGAUGACAAGGAUGAACCAGAUGAAAGAAUCAUUUAUGUGAAAUAGCCUGCUCAUUUUGUUGAGAACUCGUAGAAGUUGAAUGAGGCUUCACAUUCAGCUGGUAAGUGCCCAAAAACUUUCCAUAAGAGUAUUUUGAAAACAAACUCGAUGUUUGAAAGCAAUUAAUCCUUGAACAUAUUCUUUCACAUUGAGCCUAUGAGCUCACUUUGCUAUUCUGGAUGGUUGCUUCACUGCAACCUGGGUAACAUGGUCCAAAUCACAAUGGAUAAUAACCUCUUGGCAUGUCCAGUUAAUAUCCUCCCUGUCGGAACCUCAGGCAGUUGGUUAUCUUCCUUUUGUUUUAGUGGGAUGUUGUAUAAGUUAGCCCAGCAGGGGUUAUUUUCCUUGUAACAAAGUGUUCAUUGGUAAUCUGGUCAAAUUCUUUUCUUUUUUUUUUUUUUUUCUUUCCAUAGAAAUUCCCUUUUGGCACUUUGUGUAACUGAAGUUAUGCUCAUGGUACCUACUCCCUCUCUAAGCUUUUUUCUCAAGAAUCACAAAAUAUCCAGGACCUUUCUUGUUCCUCAGCAAAGUACCAAUUUUUCAGCCGAAGAGAAGCAGUCAUAAACUGAGUAUAAAAAAGCUAAAGAAUACGAGCUCUCCAAUCGUUAGGACCUAGAAGUUGUUGUCAUUUGUAGUUCAUAUAGGCUGUAACUCUCAACAGAAUAAUAUUGCUGGAACCAGGUGCAUAUCGAGAAACUCAAUCCUGCUUUAGGGCCUGUUUUCCUGUGCUUCCCUGUGUGGCCCUGUGAAAUGCAUGUUUUCAUGCCAGUUUGGAAAAACUGUGAACAACCACUCUAUCUGUGAACCAAGUCAGUGUUGAAUUCUUAUAGGGCUGAUAUGUCUCUUCUCCAUUGCAUUGAAGGAACCAUCUGGUUAUAUGACUUUUGAUAAAUAGCUUUCUGCUGAGAUGCCAUGCACCAUUCGAAACUGCAGAGAAUCGCUCUCAAAGAGGCAGCUGCAAGAAACAAAUUUUUGCAGCUAAAUCUAUGCCUGCUAGAUACUCAAUUUAAAGCUAAUCAUCGUUGUCGAAAGAGGCUGUUCGAACUACAUGCUCGAUCCUAGCGACAAAAUGUUCUGCCAUGAGUUUUCUUGUUAGUAACGAAAUAAAAUGAAAUGAAAUCAUGGUUUUCUACUUUCUGCAUUCAAAUUCUAUCUAAACUAAUUACAUUCCUCAGUUUGUAUAUUUUGCGCCUGUUUUUAUGUAAAUCCUAACUCGUUUUUCUCCUUUCUUUUGUGCAGUUGCUUUAAAUCUGGAUGCCAUUGAACUGGAAGCUUAUGAUGUGCUAACACUAGCUAUUGUAUGAUGUAAAUUUUCCUCUCCUUUAAUCCCUAUACAAUUCAUAGGAAACUCUCUUUUGCUGGCAAUUCUCAUUUAAGUUUGUCACUCAAGUCUCACCACAACAUAAACUGAGCAUUUGCCAUUAAUUCUAUGAAAUGUAUUAAGAGAUAUAAUAGGUGAAGUGGUUGAAAGGAAAUUAUAAUUGUCACAAAAUGAUUGUUUCCCCAUAUAUAAUAAUGCAUUUAAUUUGGAAAUUUCUUUGGCUUCUAGUACUGGUUCAAUUUCAACUAUAGAUAUUACAUUCUGCUAAACCUAAUGCAUUGCAGCUCAGUAUUAGGUUGACAAAUAAGACGAAGUAUAUUUUUUAUCUAGACGUCAUAGACACAGAUAAUAGACAUGGAAUACGACAUGACUUGAACACGACAACUUGACAACUUCAAAAAAAUGAGGACAUAGACACGACAAGGAUACGACUAAUAAAUAUAAUAUUUUUAAUAUAAUAAUAAAUGUUUGUUAUAUAUAAACUAUUAAUUUAAUAAAAAUAUUACUAUAUAUUUCAUAUAAAUAAAAGCUAAUAUAAAUUUUAUUAAUAUUUCAUGUAUUUUAAGGAAAAAGUGAUCUUCCACCCAAUUUUCCACACUACACCAAAAAUCAUAUAGUAAUUUUUUUAAACCCCAAAACAAACUAAAGCCAACACCCCUCCAAGGAGCAGUGUUGGUUGUACACCCCAAUCUAGAAUCUAUAUCUUACGCCUCCCAAAUCGGACGGUUAGCAUUCUUUUGAAACUUUUUAUUGAAAAAUGUUUGUUAUGGUCGCCCUGCCUUUUCUCUCUGAGAUUUUUCCUCCACUCUAUCUUUCUUUAAUCUCUCAUUGUUUUCCAUCUUCUCUCCUUGUUCACUCGAUAUCCCACUGUCGUCCAACCUAUCUUCGGGCCAACUGUCACGGGAUUAGCUUUUUUACCUUGAGAAUUCUCAUGCGGCAUCCUAGCAUCACGCGUCUAGGCCAACUUUCCUGAGUUCUUAGCAUAGGGGCGCCUCCAAACUUAGCAGUGGAAUGUCAAUUUAACAUUUUAACCAAGCUUGCUCCUCCAUGAGCCUUAUUGCUCGGCACCACGCUUUAUAUCGGAUCUCUUGUCGAUCUAUAUUAGAUCCCAACGGACAAUCCUACCAAGGAGGUUGGCUACAAAGCUGAGUACAUUCUGUCUUACCAGACAAACCCUCCUCUAGAGUGCUGCACAGUUGAAUGCCUCAUUGCCCUUAAAGUAAGCCAUAAGGACAUUACGAAGUCUUCUCCAAUAAAGUCCAUUUGAUUAUAGCCAAGCGUCUCGCUCUCACGCGUCUUGCUCCUACAACUUGGCCUACACGCUACAAGGCUCUGAGCAAGGUUGUAAAUAGCGGAUAGCGGGUACAUAGCGUUUGGAGAGUCUCAUAGCGGAAAGCGGCUAGCAGGCGCUAUAGCGGGCGCUAUGAACCCAUAGCGGGUUUCAUAAAAGUAAAUUUAAUAUGUUUAUGUUUCUUAUAAAAUACAUAUAAUUUUGAAGAAAAGACAACUAAUCAUUCUUUUUUUUAGUAUUGCAAGCCUAUAUAUUUAAUGUCAUUAUCUAUUAAAGAAUUUAAAAUUAACUUUAAAAUAUUUAGCAAACCAAAAAGAUGACGAUAUCUGAUUCUCUUUUAAAAACGGAUCACCUUUUUAUCUUCCAAACCCUUAGAAACAGGAUUUAUUUCAUUUAAGGAUCCGACCCGAUAAGCCAUUUUAACCCGUUUGCAUUUUUUAAAGGUUUGGGCUCAUAGCGCCCGCUUUUCUACCGCUUUAUGGCGGUCGCUUUAGCGGGCGCUACGCCGCUAAAGCGGCCACUAUGAACCCGAACCGCUAUAUACCGCUUUAUCUAUUGUAGCAUAGCGGUAACACCUAAAAACCGCUAUAGCGGCAUAGCGGCCGCUAUUUAAAACACUGGCUCUGAGUCAAGGCUCUGCAACGUCUCACGCUUCAAAGGGCUCUCCUAAAUAUAACCGUCCUCAAUAUUAUAUCGUGGCCUUACGACGUCCACAACCAUAUCAAUUGACACUUUACACGGCUUGCUCGCUAGAUUCAACUGUAUUACCUUAUCAAGCCACCUAAGGGUGUGCUAUUGGUUGAUAAAACUCUCAAGCUCAACGACUUUGUGAAACACCUCGCACGUCAACGGUUCGCACAUUCGUACCUCGUGUUCUGCCCGCGUGACUUGAGUCACUGUCACUUUUGGCGAGUAAAGCCAACAUGUCCCACUGUGCUCUUUGCCGUCUACGUGACCUUUUGCUUUGCCAUGGCGCUCUGCGCACACGAUUCGCCUUACCAUAAGGUACUUACUCGAUUCGGGCUCAUCUUGUUCCGCUAGCCAUCCGGUAACCUCCAUUGCCCAACCAAGGAUGAUUGCCAGCACCCUUGAUCUAGCCCCGAGGUUUAUUUUACUAAUCCUAACAUCGAUCAUUCCCACUUGAUGAGCUUUAUGGUCACCUUGCACCAUGAAUCCUUGCUUGGCACACUUGCCCUGGCGAGCCUUGCCUUUUACAGAGGACCAUUUUGUCUUAAGACUAUCCUUAAUCUGCUUGUCCACUCCACUACAGAGUCCAAGAAAACUUCACGGAAUACUAGCUUGUAAUGUCUUUGACUUCGUGUCUUCGACAUUAUCCUAAGCUUUUAUACCUUCUGCUGUAUUUGGUUUGCUUAUACAAAAUACUAGGCUUGGCGUGUCCGCUUACCAAGGGGUGAUCUAUAUCUUAUAGACCAUUGGGGGAGUCGAGCCCACUUCACAAGUGUCCUAUCCCUCCUCUCUAUAAACCUAGCAAAGUCUCCCUUGGAUUCAUGGGUUCAAAGGUGCUGUACUAGGGGUACAUUUCUAGUCCCCCACAUGCAGCACGAAUAUCCUUGCCACCACAUGAGCCAUUGUUAGGGAAUUGCCUCUGUUGACCCGUCUGCCACGGCACACUUGAUAGUGUCUCAAUUUCGCAACUCCAUACUUUUGUCAAUCCUAAUGCUUUUCAAAAGUGGUCUCCAAGGAUGUCACGGCUGAGUCCUACUGAUUGGCACGUGACAGGCGUUCCUACUCAAGCUGUCGACGUGCUUGUCGAUGCUCAACCAAUUUGGAAUCAUGCCAUGCUGAUCUGCCAACAGUCAGUUUUGCUGAACGACGCUUCCCCAAAGCCUAACAAUCCUCCUCAAUCUAGCACUUCAUACACACGUUCUGUCUCUUCGAGUUAAAGCCCCUUGGCCUUGGUGCCUUCCAUGCACCACAAUAACUCCUUCGCGAAAUUAGAAUUCUGAUCUUAUAAUCCAUCAGAUACCAAGAUUGCACUAACACUGCAAUUUGGUCAUCUCCAUCAGAACCACUUGGUCUUAGCAUCCAUGUUGUCCUGACUUAACCCAUUUUUUUUGAGUCUAGUAACCAACCUAGUGACUCCAUCUCGUGGAAAUAGUCCUCUGACUAACGAUCCCUCACCAGAUUGUCACCACAAAGCCUGGUGCUCUGCUCAUAUGCCUCAAGCAUUCCUUAAUUUUCAAGCACAAGUUCCUAAUUAAGCUCGAUAAAGUGGCCCUUCCUCGCCCCCAUCGAGGUCAAACUUCAAAUUUCCCACGUCUUAAAGCGUCCAAAGCGAAUCAGCUCGUAGCUCGCCUUCACUUCUCCACCCCAAAAUAUCUUAAUGAUAACCAAUUUUGCGCCCCUCGCAUGUUAAGUCAACAGAUCCUUGAUAUGACAUUCUCUUUUUAUACGGCGAGUUCGUUUGCUCGAACUCCAAUCUACAUGGCAAAUGAUAAGAAUAUCCUAAGAAUCAAAUACUUCACAAAGUCUGCGAGUACUUGUACCAUUCUCAUGCCUUCUUUCCAAACAACUUUUGCCUCACAAAUGCUUCCACAAUCGCAUAACGUCGAGUUUCACCUAUGGUAUCAACUAGACGGUCAACUGACCCUAUGCUGAGGGUCUGCUGUCGAUGGGCACAAUGAAUCCAAAGAUUUAAUAUUUUUGCCUUUUUUGGGCUUUUUUUUUUUGAUAGUUUGCUUUAAAAUUUUUGAAAGCCUUUAGGAUUGAUGUCAAGUAAGUUUUGAUGGCUUUUUAUUGAGUUUUUGCUUGUUUUUUUUUACUUGGAUUCGUAUUCUCUUUGUUUGGUUUUGGUUUAGUGAAGUUCAGGUAGAGACAGUCCAUUUAGCUAUCCCAGACUUAAUGGUUUGUCUUGUGGUAUUCUUGGUAGCUUCAUUAGGAGUUGUAAAAAAUCUUCCUUAUUGAUUUAGUUAUGGUCUUUUAUUUUCUUUUAGGCUUGAUCGAGAGUUCCUCCAUGUCACUUUCAGCCUACCGUUUAGAACCCUACCGUUUUAAGUGAGUAGGAGCUAUCUCUUUGAAUUACUCCAUGAAAGUAAAAUAAAUCAUUUUUGCUAAAUCAUCAUAACAAUCAUUCACAUAUUCAUAUCAAAUUGCAUGUAAGUUGUAUUUCGGUAAACUGCACGUAGCUUCAUGAUCACGAUUUGUUUGCCAUUAUUGCUCUUGCAUUCACUGUUAUUUAUAUGCAUAUUCCUCGGAAAUUACCGGAUUGAACACUUCCUAGGAAAUUGCUUGACUGUUAUGAUCACUUGCUUUUUCAAUCAUAAGAAACUUGAAGAGUUUCAAUAGCUGAAGUUUAGUAGACAUUGGCACUUGUUAACUUGAUUGUUGACAUAAAAAUGUGUAAUUGACAUCCUAUUGUGUUGUCCUUCAUCACAUUUGUAUGGAUUUGGUAUUUUUAUUGUGGCGGGUAUUGAUGAGUUCCUAGUUGAGAGUGUAUGUUGGUCUAGUUGAGUUUUUAAUGGUUGAGUAAGCCUUGCCGUGGGGAUCUUAGGUUGGUUUUUCUUGGUUGCCUGAUUGAGUUCUCUUGGCUAAUUGAUUUUGUGGACUAGACCAAGAGCCUGAGGCAUUAUAAUUUAGUUACAUGUUGAUAUUGACCAGGAGAUCGGACGUUUUUGAUUGCUCGUGUCUUGUGGGUAUGAUGGCCUUUGGAGUGGAGAUUUAGAGUAGAAUACGAUGACCUGAUGCACACCGAGUUUAGUAGGUCGGGACACAGGUGAUUUGAAGAUGGUAUGGGACGGUAUCAAAUCGAAUCUUAAGAUCUAUAGGCUUGAGUGGGUUAUCAGGCUCGAACGAACGAAAUAGGCGUAUCUUCCAAAAGUUAAAACAUUCACAAUAGCAGAUGUUACAAGCCGUCCGGAUGAUUUGAAGAUGGUAUGAGACGGUAUCAAAUCGAAUCUUAAGAUCUAUAGGCUUGAGUGGGUUAUCAGGCUCGAACGAACGAAAUAGGCGUAUCUUCCAAAAGUUAAAACAUUCACAACAGCAGAUGUUAUAAGCCGUUCCAAAAGUUAAAACAUUCACAACAGCAGAUGUUAUAAGCCGUUUGGAACGCCUGAGAUCUGACAAAUUAGGUGCAAUGUAGUUCCUACCCCUGAGGGCCUCCGGCGGGGUGUCUUUUCUUAUCGUCUUUUUUGCUCUUCCCUAGGGGAUUUUAUAUUCUUCCUCCUUUGUCCCUUUCUCUGCUCUUCUUUUAUUUUCUGAGGCCUGGUUGCCUCAUCGUGUAGCUAAGUUUACUAUGAAUGAAGCAAUAGCAUGCUAUCUAAUUCUCAAAGGAAAAAAAAAAAAUCCUUAGGCUUGACAGUAUAUGUCAAGUUACAUAUAAGGUGCUGAGAGGUUAGCAUGUACUGUGCAAAACUGCUACACUAGAGUUUGCACGAAUAGUAUCAGUGAAAAUAAAUAACGUACGCUUAGUAAUCAAAUGUUAUCAGAUAUGUUAUGACGUGUUAUUCUGAAGUUAUUCUAAAGUGGAAUAUGGAGAUGGAAAGUAUGGAUUAGAGUAGAAUAAUGGGAUUGUAGUUUUUUUUUUUUUUUUUUUUUUUCCUUUUUUAAGAUAUAUGGGCAUUAUACGAAGUGAUGAAACUGUAUUAUAUAAGCGUGAUGAAAAAACGAAAGCAAAGAUUAAGAAAAUAAAAAGAAAGAGAAAAACUUCAUUAACAGUCCUUAUUUUGCAAUAUAUUUUCAUAUGCUUUAUGUGAUUUCGCUUGUGUAGUUACUUAGGGUCUGUUUGAUUCACAGUUUAUAAUAUUUCGAUAAUCCUUCAUAUUUUGUAUUAAAAAAAAAAAAUCAAAUCAUCACCAUUCAACUCCAGUUAGAUAGUAAUAAAAAGUGUUAGUGUAGUUAAAUUAUUAUAGAUUCUUAGGUGAUAGAAAUAUUAUAUUAUCAGGAGGUAGGAGAUACCUUCAUUUUCAUGCUUAGAUGGAAAUCACUAGUAAUACAUAGUAAGAUUAUACUAAUUCCUAACAAACUCUCAACCUAAGUUGCUUGAUAAAUUAGUAACAAGCUUACCACUCCAAAUAUAAAAUAUACAAUAUUUUAAAAAUAUUACCAACUCUGAACCAAACAGCCCCUAAAUUGUACUGAGAUUACUGAAGGAUAAGUCUCCCCCGUGAAACUGCAUUAUAUCAUAAGGGGCAUUUUUUGAAGUUCAUCCUGAAAACAUGAAAAGAAUUUGUAAUCAGAUUCUGCAAAUCGAUAGCGGAUGAUUCAGAAUUGUCAGAAACCAGGUUUUGUUUGAUUUUACAGAGAAAUGGAGCAUCACCUGCAAACUCAGAACAACACUCCAAACAUCAUUCUUUCACCCUUUUUUUUGCAAGAAUUACACAAACCAAUAAAAAGAUGAACAUAUAAUUCAGUACUAAUUAGAUAAUAAUUAUUUCAAGGCUCGGUUCGAAUCCAAAAUUAAUACAUAAACUAUAACCAGAAAGAAUCAGAUAAUAUAAUAAUUUCGCAUACAAGCGCCCCAUGCAGUUUCACAGAGAUUAUCAUUACAAUUCAAACCAUCAAGCAGCAGAGUAAUUUCAGGCUACACAAUAGGAUAAUCUGAAGCUUUUCGUAUAAUUAAAUGGUCAUUUCCAUGAGGAAAGCAAGCACCAUCUUCACUAAUCACAUUGCUGAAACUUUCAUUUACACUGUAUGAGAGGGACAGAUGCUCAAUACAUAUAAACUGAUAUUGCCCAUGUAAUGGUCUCCAAUUGUAGACCAUUUGAAUCCUAAACGAGUUCCGAAUUAGGGCUACACCUACAGCCGGCAAUUCACGCAAGUCACAUCGUAGCUGUACUCAUCUGGACCCAACUUUCCCUGCGAAGAUAAACCAGUAUCUGUCAGCACGCUCGAACAGAAGGAUAUAAGAUUCAAUACUUAAAACUAUACGACAAACGUCUGAACAAUUUUUCCUCCAAGCAAAUAUAUUCGACGUUUUAUGUAAUGAGCAACACAUUGAGACCCAUCCGGAAGAGUGUGUUUGUCUCUGUUAACAAAUUCUUCCUUUCUUCAAUGGUGGCACCUUGGAACUUAACAACCUCACCCGCGCCAUUUUCUACUGUUGGGUUGGAUUUACUUAGUUGCGAAAUAAACUCCGCAAUCUCAAAUCCCUUUGUUCCUUCUUUUUCUGUGUGUGACAAUGAGAUGAGCAUCUUUGUUCCUUCUCUUUUGUGCGUUCGUGACAAGGAGAUGAGCAGGAGCUUCCUCAUAUCUGGCAUGUCAAAAUGAUUCAUAAAUCUAUAUAAUUUGAUAAAAUUUACACCAAAAAAGGGGGAAAAUAUGAGAGGAUAAGCAUAACAAUGAUUCAUUAUUCAUACAAACACGGAACAAUAGCUUGCUAAAACUACAUUUUGUUUUUUUCGGACGGGGACGGAUUUGAGAAUAGGAAUCGCCCAAGUAUAUCUCACGACAAUCUUUCCCAUCAAUUGCUGCUAAAAGGGCACACAUAAGACAAAUGUUUACCUACGACCAACGCAUAACCAGUAGAACCAGAGAAAUGAUAAUGUGGAGACAAAUUAAUAUCAAACAUAGGUAUUACAAAAUGAAAAUACAAAGGUCAAAUCCCUUAAAUAUGGCAAAUACUAUAAGGCGGCAUUUGAAGAGAAAAGGGAUUAAAUUAAGUCCUUUAUAAAAACUAUCGAUUUUCGCAGAAAGUAAAUUCCAAGUAAAGUUCACUCAAGGGUGCUCAGCUACAUGAGUCCACAAAAAAUCAGUGUCUCUGUCCAAAGCAAAUGUGCAGUUAGCAUUGCAAAGAAACAUCAAAAUUAGAGAUGCUAAUACAAGACAAAAACAAUAUACAGCCAGGGAAGAAGAAAAAAAAAAAGACGACCUCUCAACGGGGUCUGGCACCGCGAUUCAUUUCCAUCAACUCCAUCAUGCUCACUGCGGUCCACACCUCAGCCCCCUCUUGCACUUGCGCAUAUAGCCGCUUCUUCACGGAAUCUAUACAAACGCUUACGCCCCCAAAUUCAUACACCGGAAGACCAUUGUAGAAUUUACCAACUCUAGGCAUAAAUAGCACCCCCGUUUCCAUAGCGUACGCCUGUACCAUCUCCUUGAAGCUCAUUUCCGGCGUGCCAGCGCUAGAAAACUGUGCCGCUUGUUGCUGAACCUCAAAUUGUCUCUUUUCGGUUGCUCUUAGGAAGCUAACAUUCUCUCUAGCCCCCGGUUGAACCGACUGCGAAUCAUCUGCAGCGUGACCCAUCAUGCCGAGCCCAGAAUUUAGUAUCUCACGAAUCCGCUCGUUGGCGAGCAAUUCAGGCGGGAAGAGCCCCUUCCAUCCCAGAUACCACUGCAGGAUUUCGCCGGGAUCGGGGUUCGAGCAGAGCCAAUGGUACAAGACCUGCUGCCACUUGCUGAAGAAGUCGACCUCCAGCAAGUGGACCAUGUGGUGGGUCGGGAUAGCCGACGCCCACAUCAUCACCCAGUUGAACUGGUCGAGCUUCUGAUCGGCCGGGUUUAUCUGAAACUCUUGCAGGGCCAUUUUGAGCUUCGGGAUGAUGUGGCGCACCAUAAGAUCCUCCCAACUAGCCGCAUCAAAGACGUCCUUCCACGGAGAGAGGAUAGCGUAGGCAGACGCAUCGCUUGCGUGCCAGGCAUGAAGAACGCUACCGAGCUUGUACCGAAUCGUGUGAUAGAGAGUCUCCAACCUCUGACCGAGUAAGGGGAGCCAGGGAUGAACCCACGCGUGAAUCGGGACGGUCUCACGGCGCGGGUCCCAUGAAUCGACCGCGGCGGAGAGCUUCGGCAUAACCACAUUCUCUAGAAUGGAAUGAAGAACAACGGGAGGCAGCAAUCUGUCCCACGUUUCCAAGAAACGAAGCAUGGGCUCCGGGUCCCGCGCCUGCCACGUGUUCGUCCCCGAUAUCCUAACAGCUGGCAAGACGACCUCGCUGACCAGCUGCGCGUACGGGGAGACGGCGAACAGACCGUCGGGUUGAUCUCCCUGCAGCAAAUCCCUCCACGAAGACAUGAGCUUCAACCCGUGUAACGGAUUCUGCAACGGCUCCCAGCCUUGGAACACGCGAAUCAAUAACGGGUAGGCGAAAGCACAGGCGAUCGAUGAUAAACUGCACAGCUUGUAGUCCUCGCCAAACUUCUCUUUUAGGUCAGCGAAGGUCCUCAACAGCGAAUCCAGAGUCAAGUCCCCCGAGGAAUUCGCCUCUCUCACGCGCUGGAGGGCAUCGGCGAUACUCUCCAAGACCUGUAACUGCUGCCUCUGUCUCGCUUCCUCUCUCACAAUCUUCUCUUUCUCCUUCGUCAGGAUCACUACCUUCUCCCUUUCCCUCCUCAGAUCCCUAUCGAGCUUCUGUAUGUCGACUUCCGUCGUGUCGACGAUCAGCCUCACGUUGUACUGAAGCUCCGGCAUCGGCACUUCGUUCUCCAGCAUCUGCUCCUCGACGUUCAAAUGCUCCAGACUCGCCAAGACCUUGACUUGGGGGCCCCUCAUAUCGAGCACCUUCUGGACGACCUCAACGCUCUGCUCCUGCUUCCUGGCGAGCAACUCGUCCUUGGUCAAGACCUCGGCUUUCUUCCUCCCCUGCUUCUGCUUCAACCACAGCUUCUCCCUCGACCGGCCGUCGGAUGCCGACGCGGCGGCCUUCUCCUGCGUAGAAGGCGCUUCGAGGACGGGUAAUUUGGCCUCUUUGUAGUCGUUGAAUCCCAUGCCCAUGUUCUUGGGCCGGAGCUUGGCUUCGAUCGGGGCGACGAUGCCCUGCUCGUUCUUUCCCAAACCGGUCCCUUCUUUGUAACCCAUCAUCUUCAUGAGCUUCAUUCCGAUGCCCUUCGUGUGGCUCUCGAACCUAGCCAUCUCUUGAGCGCCCGCGACGUCUCUCCUCCCCGAGGGUUUCUUCGCGGAGUUGGAUCGCUCCCUCUCCUUCUCCCUCUCCCUCUCCCUCUCCUUCUUCCUCUGCUCCGCCCCUUCCUUGAUCUUACGCCCAAACGCGGUGGGAAGGAAAGAUUCUUCGUCGUCGUCGUCCUCGUCCUCGUCCUCGUCGGCGCGCCCCGCGGGGGCCUUCUUCUUCUCGGGAUCGGGGCGGAACCCUAGGCCGAAGCCGAGGCCCUGGCUAGGGUUAGGGUUUUCGUCGGCGGGGUCGGGGUCGUCGUCGGCGCUGCGGUCGAUCUCCUGGCUGGGCAUGACGGUGCCGGUGGAGACGAAGUGCACGGGCUUGGUGAGGUCCCCCUUGGAGCCGAUCACGUCGCCGCGGCGGCGCUUCCGGGAGCGGCGGCGGCCGCCGCCGGAGUCGGAGUCGGAGUCGCUGGAGCCCGCGGCGAAGACGCCGAGGAUGGCGUCGUCCUUGGACUGGACGGGGCGGUCCCUGCGGCGCGAGUAGUAGAACUCGCCGCCGAUCCAGCGCCCCCCCUCGAAGUCGUUCUCCAUGUCGAAGCGCUCCAUGCCCUGGUACUCGUCGUCCUCCAUGGCGGCGUCGGGAAGGAGAUCUAGGGUUUCGACGGGGACGCGGUUUUCUCCGAGUCCAAGACGAAAACGACAAAGGGUGCGGCUCGCGCGAUUUCUUUUGUUUAUCGGAGCGGGUUGGGCUCGGUCGGGCAGCCGACAUACACUUAAUUAGAUUACAUGAAUUUGGGUAGGGGUGACAAUUCAGCUCGCUGUUCACGAGAAUCGGCUGGUGUUCGGCUCGAAACGAGUAAUGAGCGUGAAAUCGAAUCGUUUGUUUAGUAAACGAGCCGAACACGAGUUGAAUUUUUCAACUCAUUUAAUAACGAGCCGAACACGCGCUGGGAUCAGCUCGUUCGUGUUCGAUUUGAUCACCGCUCGAAUACAUAUAUUUUAUAUUUAUAUAAUUUAUUUAUUUUAUAUUUAAAUAAAUAAAUAUAUAUAUAUAUAUAUAUAUAAUAUUUAUUAUUUGAUUUUUAGCAAAUAAAAUAUAAAGAUGAGCUCAAUUAUAAAAAGACUCAUUUAUAUGUAAAGUUUCAACCAUUAGAUCAAAGUUCAAUGAGUAAAAUUUUAUAAAUUUAUUUUUUAUAUAUAUCAAAUAUAAUUUGUUUAACUUAUUAUUCGUUGGCCAACUUGUGUUUGGCUCGUUUAUUAACGAGUCAAACACGAGUUGAUUUUUCAGCUCGAUACUUUAACGAGUCGGCCCUAACUCGCUCAUGUUCAGCUCGUUGACACCCCUAAAUUUGGGUCAAUAACUAUUACAUGCAUGCCGUUACUUGUGAUUAACAAGGUAGGUUUCAAAUCAACUAAAUGGAUCAGCAUAGUAAUAAUAUGAAGAAAAAAAAAACUGUUGAUACCAAAAUUGAGCCGACCUAACCCACGUAUGAGCCAAUAAAGACACGUGGUACACCAGUAGUCGGCAAUAAGGCGCCUAAAGGACAAGAAGGCGGGAACGGUUGAAGAUUGGAGCGUAACUUCCAUGAGGAGUUAGCGUAAUUUCCAUGAUCAUGGUUACAACCACUCCCCCCCAACUACUUUCAACCAAUUAAUAAUGUGGGCUAUAAAUAGUAACUUUGAAGCCUGCAAUAAGGGUCUUCGCCCCUGCGCACAAAAGACUACCUUUAUUUUCUGUAUUUUUCUAUUCUCACAUUUACCGCUUUCUCUAGGAGUAGUUCUUGUAAUUUAGCAUACUCGGAGUCUACCUGCCCUACGGGCAUCACUCCCUUGUUUGUGUACUUUUUCCCUACGCAUUUCAAUAGAAAGUCACCUUCGGCUCUUCCUGCCGAUCAGAUCACAAGUCUGUCUGGCCAUUCGGCUCGUUUCUUAGUCGAGUUCCGGGCUUCCCCUCUCUAUUCGGCUCAUCCUGCCGAAGCGACUCUACUGCAAAGGUUUUCGAACCCGGCUGAUUCGAUCCCUCAUCGGCCUAAUCGCUUGAUCCUCUGUGGGUGCAUACUUCGAGGGUCAUACUCCGCAGCCGUCUCACACCCCGACGUUCUUCCCGAGGAGAAUUAUUGACCGGGUCAAGGGUCGGGACAUUAGGCACGCAACAAUUUUUUGGCACUCCCGAUGGGACACAUUUUUAGGUAAAUUUAUAUUUUAUAUAAAUUAUGGCUGAUGAUCUACGUAAUAGGGUUGUUCCUAGAAAUUCUGGGAGUGAUCAACCUAGUGAUUCAGACAAUGCUGGCGAAUGUCAAGCAGUUUUGCCAGUUGAAGGAGAAAUUAGUGGACAAUCGGCUCAUCAAGAGCCGAGUCUAACUCAGGCACUCGGCCAGAUGAGCCGAGUCCUGCAAACUUUAGAUCAAAAUAUCCAUCAAAGUACCGCUCGACUAGACGCGGUGCUGGCCGCUAUCACGGCUUAUAAUGAAAAUAUUGCACGAAUAUGGCAAUUAUUGACUCGAAAUGAGCAACCAAUGACAGGCUUACAAAGGCCUAUGAUGACACCAGUGUUGCAAAAUUCUGCGACACCGGUAAAUGGACAGGCCCAAUACCAGGGGGCACCAUUCCAAGCGGCUUACAGACCGGCCGUCGUUAAUACCGGUCAACAGCCAGAAAUUACAUGGGGAUUGCCACCACCUCCGCCGAUGGCAACAUACCAGCCCCAAAAUGUAGGGGCUAGAGCUGGGGGGCAGGCCCCUAAUGAUAUGCAAGGAGCGAACCCUGCAAUACAGAAUUCUGGAGUUCCUCAAGGGCCAAAUUCGGCUCAAGCACAAGCUUCGCUGUAUGCUCAGAUUGAGGAAGUCAUUCGGAAUACCUUCGGAGUAGGGGCCAGGCCGGCUAUGCGGCCUGUUUUUCGAUCCUCGUAUCCAGCAAAUAUAUAUACAGAGCAUCCGUAUCCGGCAAACUGGAAAAUGCCGAAGUUUGACAAGUUCUUGGGCGAUGAGACCGAGAAUACGGUCGAGCAUAUAGCCCGGUUCACGUCCCAAUGUAGAGAAGCGGCCGCUGACUCAUUUUUGAAACUUCGAUUAUUUAAUACGUCGUUAACUAAAACGGCGUUUAUUUGGUAUACAAGUUUAUCAACCAAUUCCGUCCAAGAUUGGGACGAAUUGGAAAGAAAAUUUCAUGAGCGAUUCUAUAGAUCGGAGCCACAAUUAUCGGUCGCCGACUUGGCUUUGUACCGACAAAUGUCAGGUGAAACGGUCGAAGAGUAUUUGGACCGUUUCAAAAUAGCCAAAAUCCGGUGCUUUAUGAGAAUGCCGGAAUCAGAGUUCGCCAAAAUGACGUUAAAUGGUCUACAUUUUAAGAUAAAAGACCAUUUUGAAGAUAAGUAUUUUUCUAACCUAUUUGAUCUAGGUGUUCGAGUUGCCCAAUACGAGCAAUUUCAGAAGAAAAGUGAGGACGAUCGGCUGCAAUGGAGCCGAUAUAAAAAUCAAAGCAAAGGCAAGGAGAAAUCCUUGCUAGAAGAACAGUCGGUUCAAGAAGAGCCGAGCCAAUCGAGUGAAAGUGAAGAAUCGGCUGAUGAAGCCGAGAUAUAGCCACUUCCUUUAAGAAGAAUUUCCUGAUAGAAAAACAUUCGGUUCAAGAAGGGCUGAACUAAUCGAAUAAAAUUAAAGAAUCGGCUGAUGAAGCCGAGAUAUAUGUGGCUGGGAUGAUAAAGCGUCGUUUUCCUAAAGCCGACCAAGAUCAGCGAAACUAAAGCUUGGGUCUCGGCUGUGCUUUUGAACAGUCGAUUUGGCACCAAUAGUCAUCCGAAUGUUCAUUCGAAAGACUAUUGGGGGGGCAUUGUUGAUACCAAAAUUGAGCCGACCUAACCCACGUAUGAGCCAAUAAGGACACGUGGUACACCAGGAGUCGGCAAUAAGGCGCCUAAAGGACAAGAAGGCGGGAACGGUUGAAGAUUGGGGCGUAACUUCCAUGAGGAGUUAGCGUAACUUCCAUGAUCAUGGUUACAACCACUCCCCCCAACUACUUUCAACCAAUUAAUAAUGUGGGUUAUAAAUAGUAACUUUGAAGCUUGCAAUAAGGGUCUUCGCCCCUGCGCACAAAAGACCACCUUUAUUUUCUGUAUUUUCCUAUUCUCGCAUUUACCGCUUUCUCUAGGAGUAGUUCUUGUAAUUUAGCAUACUCGGAGUCUGUCUGUCCUACGGGCAUCACUCCCCUGUUCCCAUACUCGGAGUCUGUCUGCCCUACGGGCAUCACUCCCUUGUUUGUGUACUUUUUUCCUACGCAUUUCAAUAGAAAGUCACCUUCGGCUCUUCCUGCCGAUCAGAUCACAAGUCUGUCUGGCCAUUCGGCUCGUUUCUUAGUCGAGUUCCGGGCUUCCCCUCUCCAUUCGGCUCAUCCUGCCGAAGCGACUCUACUGCAAAGGUUUUCGAACCCGGCUGAUUCGAUCCCUCAUCGGCCUAAUCGCUUAAUCCUCUGUGGGCGCAUACUUCGAGGGUCAUACUCCGCAACCGUCUCGCACCCCGACGUUCUUCUCGAGGAGAAUUAUUGACCGGGUCAAGGGUCGGGACAUUAGGCACGCAACACCAACAAUAUGGCUUAGCAUGUAUGAAUUAUUAUUUAUUUUAAACCAGCGGCUGCAUAAAACUAAUCCCAUACCUCCAAGCGACAAAACGUUCAAUUUCCAUCAUGCAUCAUUGCUAAUAAACCAAAGAAUACAUCGGAAUCCACAUCACGCUCCAUAUAUAGCAUUAAUCAGAUACAAGUAACAAUUUAAACCCACAAAAUAACAUAAUGGCUUACCUCUGCAAUAUCAAAUAGUGCAGGUAGUAUUCACUAUAUAAAUCGCAGUAAAGAAAGGAUAGGUAUUCCUCAAAGCCCAAUUUUCUCGAGAAGGGUUUGCAGCUUUCACAAAGAUUGCUAUUUAAAAGGUCACAAUGCGACUUAACUAUGUUAAGUGGUAGGCGAUAAGCAAAAAUAAUGGAGUGACUUAACAAGUCGAAGCAAAUACAAGAUCUAAGGAAAAAUCUUAUAGCCGAGCGAGAUCACAAUAAUUAAUGGACGAUCUUUACAGGCACCGAGCUUCCGCCAUCUUUUGCCAAAUUAUUGGAAAAGUGAUGCAGCUUCAAUUCUAACUAUUGCAAUUAAAGAGGGUUUUGGAGCUCCAAUUCUAACUAUUGCAAUUAAAGAGGGUUUUGGAGCUAGGCGGGAGAAAAGCAAUAGAUCUAUAUUGGCAUUGUUAGGGGAAAAAAAAGAUCACUUCUCUUUUCUCUCCUACUUCAUUAAACCCACUCCUCUCCUAUUUUUCCACUAUUCCCUCCACUUCUCCACCAUUUCCUUCGCUUCUCCAUCAUUUACUAUUCUCUUCACCAUAAACCCCCACCACCCUCUUACUAUAUAAAGAGGGGUGAACAAAAAAAGGAGAGGUUUCUACUCACAAAAAAGAAAAGAAAAGAAACUUGGAUUAAAAAAUGAGUCAAAUAGGAAAGUGGGUUUAGAUUCUCUCACUCUCAUUUUCUUUCUCUCUUCUCUCCUAGUCAAGGUACUCCCUAUAUCGAGCUUUCUACGCGCACCAGACUACAUGGAAGUCAGUUCGUGCCGUCGUCAACCAUUACUCCGCCGAGUCAUCGUCAACCAAUAAGAGACGACCGCUUGUCGCCAUUCCUCACUGUAAGGACUGAGAUUUUUGACAGUGCGACUAAACUCUCUGUUGAUGAUGUUUAUGUGUGUAAUUUAAUUACAUAAGCACUCGUCAAGUUUCAGGAGAAACUGAGCUAAAUGGAGAAGAUACGCAAUUUUCAGCUUUCACUUAAGUGAAUAGUAACUCCAGUUUUCCGGGGAAGCCACGGAGUAGAGUUGGCUUCUGGUGCGUAUCGGACUCCGUUCAUAUCAGUCCAAUAGCUCGUUUCGACGCGGCUUAAGCUGUUCUGCGAACUAGUGGCGGGCUGAUGAGUUUUGAGUUUGACGCACGGAUUUCGAGAAAUCCAAAAUACAUGUUUUAUAUGUAUUUGUGCGUCAUUUUGGCCUUUUGGAGAGAAAAGCGGAUUUACGUCGCGAAUCCGUGAUCGUUGGGGUGAACCAAAUGGUAAGCUUUUUGUCUCGGAAGGUGACUGAUCGCACUGGUGCAAUCCGUUUCGCUACAUCCUGACGGACGUUCGAUUCUGGCGAGAUCGCUGCCGUCUGAUUCGAGAGAGGUCGGUGAUGGCAAAACGUAUUUUCGCAAAAGUCGCAAUAUUUUAGUACCGUUUUUGUGUGAGAUCGCACGUGGAGGGGUAUUCACGCUUUACCUCAGGCUGGGAAGGAUAUUUAAGCUUGAAAUAGUAAGUCUAGGUGGAUUUCUUCGCAAUUUUGGCUCUUACUUAUAUAAUUUGUUUUCUAGGGUUCUUCUUGUGAUCCGAGCCUUAGAUCAAUCCCUAUUAACCUAACCGCACCCCACCACGUUCUUGCUCUCUGACACAUGCGCGCGACUCCGGCCGCCGGACAUGAUCUCUCGACGCCAGACACCACCUACCCCAUGCCGCCUUUUCUUUCCCUCUCCCUGCUCUGUUCCCACCUUCCUUCUCGCAUCGGCCUUUGACCUGAGCAAAGGGGAGCGACUCAAACCUCCUCCUCAGCCGCCUCCACCCUUACCCGACCUCAGGCACAUCAGCCGGCCGCCGUCACCCUGGUGGCGGCGCGCCCGACACCGCCGACAUCUCUUUGGCGACCAUCUGGAGCGCGUGCGGGCCAACUUGACCCGCACUGCCGCCGUCCUGCGCCGCCCGCGCUAGGCCGCGCCGCCGCUUGCCCUUUGACACUCGGCGUGUCCGUCGCCGCGGUUCCCGCCGUCCAUAUUGCUGAUGGUCCUGCCUGGACUCCGCAGCCGCCCCAGCCACUCCCGAGGCGGGCCGAGCUUGGGGACACCCAUCUAUAUGCCUCCGCGCGCCAAGCUCCGCCGCUCCCUGCCGCAGUGCAACUUCCGGACGAAAGACAUCCGACUGCACCCCCGGACAUCCCGACCUGCCCGGCCAACACGCCGCCGUGGCCGCAGCACCCCGGACCCGUGCCCUAUGUCCGUCGGCAUGCCAAUAGUCCCGCCCGGUCCCACUCUCGCCGUUCCGCCGCCCCACCGAGUGAGCUUGGUAGCUCCUAACACACAAGACCCGCAAACCUUCCCUGGCGCCGCGCGCACACAACACCGUGCCGGCGGUGGCCGCCGGAGCAAGCUGCUCCGCCAAGCCCGAAAUAUGGGCUUAAUUUAGGAUGGGUUUGUGUUCUACAGCGUUCUCCGAGCCUCCCGAUCAAUAACGGAAGGGAGCAACGAUAUCGUGACUCUUUUCUGAUCAUCGUGCUCCAACCUUGUUUUUGUCGGGAAAACCACACACACCCGUCCAAUGUCGGCGGUGUCGACCCUGUCGAGCCUGUUGGCUGCUAUUUUGGGUUUGCGCACCGUUUUCUCACCACACACCGGCGACUCGAGCGCUUGUUAAGAUGCACUCCGAAGGUGAGCACUAGGUGAUCGUCUGGUUCAGUUCUGAUCCACAGUGACUCACUUUACUAUUGGAUCAGACGAUGUCGUUCGGCCUGUUCGGCGCGAUUUUUCCCGACUGCGCAGCUGUUCGCCCACAACACACCGCUGAACCUUCGGGUUGCAAUAACGCGCUUUUCACACCACGAACAAAUAUGUGCUCCAGAAUCGGCGAGCACGCCUCUCAGUACGAUCGAGAUCGUCAGUGCGUGUCUCUGGCGAACACCUUAGAAGUCCUCAGUUUCGUGAACGAAGCCAUGGUUAUCGAGCAAACCAUCAAUUAAAAUAUUGGAAUUUUAUGUAUGAGGGGCCUGUUUUGUGCAAAGUGGGAUUUAUGAGGCUACUGUGGGCAGUGUAUAAGGCAUGUGUGUGACCUCUGGACUGAUUGUCCAUGAUCUGUAGCUUUUGCGAAAAUCAAAGACCACACAUUCAACAAUCUACUCUUCGGCGAAAUCUCCGAAAGACGCCCAGUAUUCGGUUCGAGAGAUUAUUCAAGAUUGAUGCUCUGUGAGUGGAAGCCUGUAUCAUAGUCACCAUACCAAAUCACCACAACACUCUGGGUAUCGGUGAUGACCGGUGAGCGCGAACGGUGGGACGCAUUCGGUGUCGAAUUUGACAUUCAGGAACAACAACCGAAUCGCACAAUUAUCCCGGCCGACAUUGUGUAGGGCGUGUUAUCAUAUUACUACCAAAACAUCCAAUUGGAGUGUUUUGGGGCAGUAGGUGACUCGUGACACCGAUCGUGAGUUUCGGGACACUUAGUGGUCCCGAGCGGCGUCCCGAUGUGGUUUUCGGACUUUCGUUGUUCGGAUUGUAUUUUUUAUCGUGGUUAUUUGGGGUUUAUGCUUUACAGUUUCUUUAGACACUAAGCCAUGUGGCACCCCCCUUAGGUCCGGUUGGAACGUUUCUUGGCAGUCAGGAGACAGACGCGACACGUUGUACAGGUGGUACUUCAUCUCAAUAGUCGGUACAGUGUGUACGCUCGGUGAUAUUUUCUUCUAUCCCUAUUCUUCUAUUGCAUUUUCAGUAUUAUAUAUGAGCUGCAUCCCGUUGUUUCUAUCAUACUCUAUCUCAAUAUGUUUUCAUGCUUAGUAUCAUGAUGUAGGAGUAGAGUAGUUUAUCCUUAUUGAUAUCCGGUGACCGCUGAUUGGUCGGUCUCGGUACUUUGUCCCGUGACCUGAUUGGUCGGUUCUCUCUCGUUUCAGUGACCCUAGUUGAUCGGUGCGUUUAAUCUAUAUUGUUGACAUCUGGUUGGUCGUUGUGCAUUAUGUAUGGUUUGGUCUCAUUUCUGACUUAUGUCGUUGCGAUGACCUUGAGUGGUGUACCCUAGGGUAGGAUCUCGCUGUGCUUGACGGUAUCUGGACUAUAUCGCAAUACACUCUGUGACCUAUCGGGUCGGUUCUUAGCGUUCUGUACUUUUAGUUGACAUCGGAGCAGUAAUCUACAUAACCAUCUUUAUUAUCUGCCAAGGUUGUUUUAUGUUAGAUCCUGUAUAGGGUGAGAGUAGACGACAAUCGUAUAUACAUAUUUUGACUGGUUGGUUCGGUUUCCUAUUUGCAUGCGGUGGACUCUGUUGGUCGUCCGUUACUUUCCGUACAAUUGAGUAUCCUCGGUCCGGUUCACGUUGUUACUUUGAUUGACGCUACACGGUCGUAUUCGUGCCCCAGAGGGCAGUUGAUUGUCGGCUGAUGCCGACGGUUGCUAUUGAUCAUAUCCGAUUGAUCCGUCACAGCUCGGUCAUUUCACGUACACCAGCGGUUGACCGCGACCUCAGGAGGGUGGUUCUUUUCCGGAAAAGUGGUCGUACAUCGAGCCCGUGAGCCCAGCGGUGUUCUCUUUGUGGCUAGGGUUACAUGCCAUAGGCUGUGAGUAGAUAGUGGCUUUUUCCUGAGGUUCCUUAGACCGACACGCUGCGGUUUAGAUUGGGUAGCUUUGGACUUCUCGUCCGCGUGACCAUAUACUAUAUAGGUCGUUGUUGGCAUAUAUACUUCUAGUUCUUUCCACUUACAGUUGUCUUGCUACUAUAGUUUUGAUACCCCUGUACAACUACUUGCAGUUGUAACCAUUUACAGUAAGCGUAGUUUUGUGUUUUCGAUCUAUAUAUAUAUAUAUAUAUAUAUCUCGUUCGUUCAUUAUCGUUGCUACUGUAUUUUUACUUACCAUAACUGUUGGUUAUCUCUUCCCUGAUCCGGUGAGUACUCGCCGCCUCUUCGGCUUGCGUAGCCCCCCGCCCGCCCGCCCCGCCCCCCCCGCCCCACUGGGAGGGGAACAUUGUUUAGAUGUUCCACCUCCCCACCAAUUUUUCAGGUAUCGCGGCGAUGAGUAGUGGGACGAGAAUGAGGCUACGUGUUGUACGCGUGCGAAUGAGAGCUUCCGACCAGGUUGUUUCGAUUUUAUUUGAUAUCCUUGGUAUUUCUGUUGAUAUAUAGUUUAGUUGGUUUAUGUGGUUCAGUAAUUAUUUACAUUCGAAAAUGUGUAUUUCUGGAUUUGUAAAAUAAAAGGUUUUCUACCCCUCGUGGUAGCGUUUUUAAAGGAAUAAAGGUUUCUGUGUAGGAAACAGCUUUCAAAAGAUUUUGUGGUUUUCUGUUUAUACCUUGAAUGUAAAACUGUGAUGUGAAUGGUGAAUGUAUGAAUGUAUAGUUAUCUUUAUAUUCAUCUGGUUGUGGUUGUAUCCUGGUUGUGCUGUAUAUUUGAUCGACGCCGUGCAAAUACAGGGGAGACUCUGUCCGUGUGAACAGUGGAUUCCCUGUAUUUGUGGCGGAUCUGGCAUACUCUGGGGUCAGGAUUUCAAAAAAAAAAAAAAAAAAUUUCAGACGCUUUUCCGCUUUGUUUUAAACUGAAAAGGGACCCCAGGGCGUGACACUCACUGACUGCUACUACCUCGUCGUCAUUGAUCCCGGAGUGGUGCACGUUCCCUUUUGCUAUUGUCGCGUCAUCAUCGACCAAGGAGGUGGCCACUCGCCUGCUGUUGUUGCGCCCACAACAACGACGAUCCACCAGUGCUAUGCCGUUGGCGGUAAAGGUGGCGACGACAAUGACAAUGACUAUCCGCUAGACGCCUGGCCGUCGGCAGUGGAGAAAGGCGGCAACGACAACGAUGACAGCGACUAUCCAUUGGCGCUUUGCCGUCGGCGGUAAAGGCUGCGAUGACAACAACAACAACAACUAUCUGCUUGAUGCUUAGUCGUCAAUAGUAGAGAAAGGUGAUGAUGACGUGACUAUCUGCUUGACGCUUAGUUAUCGGCGGUAGAAAAAGGCGGCGACGAUGAUGACGACAAUCCGCUUGACACUUAGCCAUCAGUGGUAAAGGCGACGACAACAACAACGACGACUAUUUGCUUGACACUUAGCCGUCGGCGGUAGAGAAAAGUGAUGACGACGGCGACUAUCCGCUUGACGCUUAGCCGUCGGUGGUAGAAAAAGGCGGCAGCAACGACGACAACGAUCUGCUUGAUGCUUAACCGUCGGCGGUGGAGAAAGGCGGUGAUGACAACGACGGCGACUAUCCGCUUGACAAUUAGCCGAUGCUAGUAGAAAUAGGCGAUGGCGACGACGACGAUCUGCUUGACGCUUAGCCAUCGGCAGUAAAGGCGGCGAUGGCAACAACAAUGGCGAUUAUCCGCUUGACGCUUAGCCAUUGGUGGUAGAGAAAGGCGACGACGAUAGCGACUAUAUGCUUGACGCUUAGCCGUCGCUAGUGGAGAAAGGCGGUGACGGCGAUGACGACGACGAUCUGCUUGACGCUUAACCGUUGGUGGUUGAGAAAGGCGGCGACGACAAUGACUUUGACGAUCUUCUGCUUGACGCUUAGCCGUCGGCGGCGGAGAAAGGCAACGAUAACGGCGACGAUCCACUUGACGCUUAGCCGUCGACGGUGGAGAAAGGUGGCAACAAUGACAACCACCAUCCGUUUGACGCUUAGCCGUCAACGGAAAGCGCCAAUCAAAUUAUUGAUUGCCGCUCUUGUUAAUUGGCUUUUUGUUAAAAACUUGUGCAUGAUGUAUAGUUUAUGUGCGAAUUUAUGCAUAGCGCAUUGCUUACGUGCGCGUGCUAAACGUUCGACGAAAUGCCAAAAACAGUGUGCACAUAAUGAAAUGUUAAAGAAAACUUGAGCAUGAUGCAUUGUUCAUGUCCGAGUGCCAAGCAUUCGAUAAAAUGCCAAAGACAGCUUGCACAUAAUGUAUUACCUAUGUGCAUGUCAAAUGCUCGAUGAUAUACCAAAGAAAGCUUUAUGCAUGAUGCAUGGGCUCACAUUGUUAUGAGCAAUAUCUUGACGAGACAUUAAUUAUAUGUUCGUGAUUGCUUGCAUUAAAAGAGAGAACGAGAGAGAUGAUAAUUUUUGUUUUUCUCUUUUUGGUUGUAUUUAUUUUUGUACACAUAUGUACAAGAAUAAUAAAAAACGUAUAUUUUAUUUUGCUAAUUAUUAUAAUUGACCAGCUUAAUCAGAGAUUGCCUAAAUGCGAAUAGGCGUAAUUAAUUAGAAAUCUUUAUGAUUCCUAAGGAGUAUAGAACAUUUAAUCUUGGUUUUUUUAACAUAUAAUAUUUUAAUCUCCUCGUCUCAUGCGUUGCAUGAGACAAAGAGAAAAAGGGUAUGGAAGAUGCUUUCUCAACAAAGACAAAUAGGCGUAAUUUUAACUUUCAAAGGUAGAAGACGCUCAACGAAGUGACGAAGAGGAAGAAAAUAGGGUAGAUAGGAGAGAGGGUAUAGAGUAAAGUGGUGUGUUGAACGAGGCGUGAGGGGAAAAGGAAUAGACUUUUUUAAUUGUCAUGCUGGAAUAACCUACUUUUGAUUGGGAUAAAAAAUUUAUAUCAAAAUUUGGCUUAUUUUGGAGAAUAACAAAGAUAAAUAGUUUUAUUUCUCAGUAAUCCCGUUACCAAACGAAGCCUAAGAGAAUAGUGUAUAAUAGGGCUAGAGUAUUUUUCUAGCCAUUUUUGGAAGGAUAUGUUCGAACUCUUGAGGAUAAGAUUAAAUAUCCAGUACUCCUACUAUCCAAAAUCUAAUAGCCAAAGAGAAAGGAUAAACAAAUAUCUUAAAACUUAUUUACGGUGCUUGUAUUUUCAAUAUACUAAGAAACGGUCAUAUUGGCUAUCAUUUGUGGAAUAAUGGUAUAAUUCAAAUUCUAAUUUCUACUCUCACGUUAAUAAUAUAAGUCAAAUAUUUAAGGAAAACAUACCAAAUGUAUCCUUAUCUAGUUAUAGGGAGAAUGAAGUGGAUUGAUAUUGCAGAUGCAGAGGCAGUAAUCAUUUCUUUUUUUAUUCUUCCUUUUCUAAUGCUUUUUUUUUUAUUUUCUUUGUGUUUAUAUUUAUAUUUUUUUAUUUUUCACAUUCUAUUUAUUUAUAAACUUAUGAAUUGAGAACCACAAAAGCCUCUCCGCGUUUCAGGGCAGAGUGGGAUUCACCACACCUUAUUUUUUGUAUGGGACCUAUCUAUCCUCUCUCUUUCCCCUUUUUUUUUCUUCUACACUCUAUCGUCAGUAGUCUCUCUCACACUUCCUCACCUUUUUUUAAGUACAUUUCUCACCCUCUCCCUCACUUCACCUUCUCCCAUCAAUUACACACAUAAGAGAAAGAGAAAGAGAAAGAGAGAGAAUUAUAGCAAAAAAAAAUUAUAAAACUAUGAAUUGAGAACCACAAAAGCCCCUCCGCGUUUCAAGGGAGAGUGAGAUCCACCACAACUUAUCUUUUGUGUGCGACCUAUCUCUCUUCUCUCUCUCUCCCAUUUUUCUUUUUUUUUCUUCUCAUAGUUCCUCACCUUUUUUUUACAAUACAUUUCUUAUCCUCUCCCUUCACAUUCUCCCAUCAAUCACACACACAAGGAAAAAAGAGAGAGAGAGAUUUAGAGCAAAAAAAAGAAAAAAAUCCCAAACCCAAAGCCCUCAUCUUCCUCCUCCUCUUGAUCCUCUUUUCCCUCACCCCCUCUCACCACUACGAAGAGGGAGAAAUGAAAGCCCUAAUUGUGGCGCCCGAACUUUCCAGGGACCACUCAUCUUAGGACUACUUCUAUCCUAACACACUUAACUCUCUUAACCUCUUGAGCAUAGCCACAGCCCAAAAUGCUUAAGCCGAAUUAAGAGUUUUAGCCCUGUUAUAUCUUAUAUAUAGGACUAUCUGAAGCCUCACACUAAUGGUGGAUCGAAUCCAUAGUAGCCUCUGGCUUUUCGUGCACCGCAACGUCAUUUUCCUCUAUGGUCACCUUUGUACCAAGUUCUUCACUUAGGUGCUCAUUUCUUAUCCACUAUUUUUGUCACGCCCCGGAUUCCUCGUUUCCCCAGGCACGCUAACAAACCCGCCAUAUACAUAAGAAUUUUUUCUGUAUACGAAGCGAAGCUGUACAUGUACCUGUAAUCAUACAACACUACAACCAGUAGUAUAGAGCUGCUAGAAAGGAAUAAACCAUAAUUAAAAAUAGAAGUUCAUUAUACAUACAUAACAUCCAGGUGUACAAAACAUUCGUUCUAACGAGAUACAACAUAAGUAUGUAUAAGAACUCAAAACUACCACUAUCUGUAGUUGGUAUACUCUAGAUCAGCAGCAACUGGGAAGGGAUCUAACUCACGACUCCCUUUCCACGAUCAGAAUCCAUAGUAGCAGCAGCCGCAACUAAAGGCUCUGCAAAAGAUUCAAACAACUGGGCGUGAGAACUACUGCAAAAAUAAGCAGUCCUCAGUGGGUAUCGCCCUCAAACUCAUCGGCUCACCCACCAAGUCUACGGAUGUAUGCUCAAAUGAUAGUAAGGGAACUGAAAACAAUCUACAGCUACAUGCCACUAUACUAUCAUGAUCCGACACUACUAUUUGUAGAAUAAGACAAGCUCUGAUCCAAUCUCACUAGGGACUGUGAAUACACCCGUCCUAUAGACUGUGAAUACACCCGUCCCGCCUGUCGAAGCUAUACAGCUACCUCCACACUAAGCAGUCCGUGGAGAGCAAGUCCAACCAGGACACAACGACACCAACGUAAAACGCAUAAAGCCCGACUCCGGAGUGGCACUCGUGGGCGCUACCCAACCGAGUAUACAAGUGUAUCUCUGUCAAGCUCAAUCAGGCUCUCACAGGCUAUAGUCAAGUAAACAGGGUCCAACUGGUCUAACAACCAAACUCACGUGCUCUCGGCACAAUCUGAUGCAAAAACAGCAAUCUGGGUCCAUCGUCAACCUCAACGGCACCCGACAAUCCGGAACAACCUAAACACUGCUGUAAAAAUAAGCUCAGCAUCCCAGCACGAGAGUAAAUACAUUCUACACUAUCCUAGGUAUCCACCGCCUACAAACUGCGGUGAUACAAACAAACUACGGCUCAUAGAGCUAGAUCUGGUAGUUUAAGCAUAUGACAGGGUAGAAUCGCUGGUUUUCUCCUAAGUCAAUUCCAAGUCCAACAUGUAUCAUUUAUCUAACUUACUACAGCAUGCUCCAAAUUCAGAUUUCGCUUAACAUGCUAAUCAAUAAAUUUGAGUUAAAACAUGAUAUACAAAAGCUGAAAAUAUACAUGUUGACUACGCAAACACUUAGGAGGAGAAUCCGAUGAUUAACCCACCUCUAGCGCUCAGUCCAUGGCAGCGAGGAGAUCACGAAGUUGCCGGAAGCCUCAGCUGAGAACACCCACAACCAACAACUAGGCUACUCGAAGGAUCUAAACAUCAAAAAUACUAAAAUUCCAUCAAUCCACAACAAUUCAGCACUUAAGCUUAAUUUUUCCUCAAUUUCACUGUCAAUUUUACCUUCCAGAGCUCAAAUCAGAUAGAGGAAGGUCCCAAAACCAGUGGGCUAUGCUAGAGUAUCAAUCUCUGGUUCACAAUCCAACUUCUUCAAAGAAUUGUUCCAAGAAAACCACAACAAACUCAAUUUCAGCUCAAACUACCAACAGCAGAGAAGAAUGCGAAAAUGACUGAGCUAGCCUUAACCAAAUUCUGUCAAUUUGGGCUCCACGAAUUUCUCUUGAAGUCUAGAAUCCAACAAACCAAGUUUGACCUCAAUCCGACCUUCCUAUGUCGCACACGAGUCAAAACACCGAAAGUCGUUGCUGGAAUUUGCUGAAACUGCAGUCCACAAGCUUCAAUUUGUGGAAUUUGAAGCAAUUUGAGGAGUUUGAAGGGGUUAGAAUGAAAAAUAUGAGCUCUCUGUGAAGGAGGGAUGAAAAGGCUUCACUGUGGUCGAAUACCAACUAUUUAUAGUGUGUUAGAGUGGUCGGAUAAGCCUCAGGAACAACAAUUGCUAACCUGAGAUUCCAGCAAAAACGACCACUUUCGGGGGCCCAAAAACCCUUUCUAGGCGUCCGAAACAUCCAGGCUACACAAUUGUUCCCCUUCGGUUUCUCCGCCCGCGGUGUGUUGCGCCCAUAACCGGUUCCGGCGAACCUCACCUACCACCAGCCACGUGUCAGCGCAAACGAUACUCACGAAGUGAAUUUUCAGACCCACUUCUGGGCGCCCGGAACUAGGAUCCGAAUUGGCUUCCAGUUCUACUCAGUUCUGCACUCAAGUUCUAGGCGACCCAAACCCUGUUCUGGGCGCCCGAAUCUGACAAAACUCCAGUUUUGCUUAUUUGAGUGCGACGAGUCCAUUUCUGCAUCCAUUUCGUGCAGAAUUGAUUCCGACUCAGUCCGACACUCUCCAGAUGUGUCGACCAGUCACUAAUACUGUAGCCAAUCCUAUCCAAACCUCUGGAACACUGCAAUUUUUCGCAAAUAUUUGGAUUUUUUUUCUGUUUGUGCAUUGUUGUUAUUUUUUUUGGAGAGGCUGAGAUGAUGUUUUGGGGUUUCUAUAACUAAUUCUUUUAGUAGAUCGAGCGGCCGAAUUAGAUGCUAAAUUUGUUCUGCCAAUAGCAAAGGGCCAAGUAAAAUAAUUAAAACUUUAGAGAGACAUACGAAUAAUUAUCUCUAAAUUAAUUUUUCUAUAUAUAUUUUUAAAAGUUAUGAUAGUUUUUUGCUUAAAUUAUCCUUGUAAAGUAUAAAAAGUAUAUAAUUAAAAUUUUGAUUCUCUAAAACUUGUCCAAAGUUAGUAUUUUUUAUCUAAUAAAUUUUAUUUAUAAAACUUAAAAAUUUAUAGGGAAGAAAAUUUACAAAUGAAGCUAGUUAUAAAAUAAAGGGGCUCAUUCUCACGCUUCUUUUUUGCGGAAGUCUAAUAAUUUUGCUUCUUUAACUCUCUUUUGCAGUGCUUCUCAUUUUUUUUAUUAGAUUUUGAAAUUCUCUUAAGUAUUUUUUUGCUUUUACUUUGUAAAAUUGCUUAGAAAAAAUAUAAUAUAACAUGAGUUUUUAUCCUCAUGAAAGCUUCUGUAGGAAUCAACCUGGAAGAAAAUAAGUUAAAUAAAUACUUUAUAAUUGAACUCAUAAGAUAAAAUUAGUAGAGAAAAAAAUCAAAAGGAAAAAAUAACAAUUGUCUUACUAAUUAACACUAAAGACUAUUGAAUUAAAAGUAGAAAAUAAAAUAAAAAAUUGAAAUGACAUUUGAGGGAGAAAGAGAAAGAGGGGUCAUAUAAAUGGCAAUUAUAGGAUUCAAAAAUUUUAGGAGUUAUGAAAGUAGAUAGAGUAAUUUUAAGAAGAAGAAAGGUCUCAUGAAUAAUAGUUAUCUAUUAAGGUGUAGCAUUAAAUUAAGAAUUAAUUAGGAAAACUUUAAUGAGAAAAGAUACAGUAAUUUGAAAAGGCAUGUUAACUUUAUAAGAAAAAAUAUGGUAAUUUAUUUAGUAAGUAAUUGGCCAACCCAUUGAACUUCCAAGAUUAAUUUAUAGGGAAUAACUAUUAACUAUUUGAGAAGUCCAACAGUUUUGUGUACGGUAAUAAAUAAUACUAUAUUAUUAAUUAGUCAUUAUUUGCUUUAUUUCUAUUGCUGUUUUUUUUAAAAAAAAAAAUCCAAAAAAAUGAUGUUGUGCCACAUCAGCUUUUUUUUAAAAAAAAAUUUAAAAAAAUGAUGUUGUGCCACAUCAGCUUUACCUAUUGGGGAUUCAUAUAAGAGUAUAGAUAAGCAAAAUAAUUUACAACAUAAAGAUAUAUUAAGAUAAUUAAGCACAGAUGUUAUCUUAUUGUGAAUUCUAGAAAUAUAAUGCAAUUGAAUGUUGUUGUACUGCCCAAGGUUUCUCCUUACAGUUAGAAAUAGGUCGGCCUGAAGUUUGAUUAUAGUUCUACAUAUUCUCACCAAUAACGUGGGGCCAGAUAAAUUCUCUUUGUAAAGAUAAAAUUUGAGUUCCCUUCAUAUUGUGUAGCACAUUUUUUUUACCGUAUUAUUGUUCGCAGUUUAUUAUUAUGUGAUUCUAUUUUUAUUUCAAUAUAUUGCUCUAUCAAUAAAUAAGAUAGCACUGUAUACAUUUUACAAAUCGCAAGAUAAUAAAAUAUAGUAUUUUACCAUUAUGUUAUUUAUAAAAUAUAUUAUCUUAUUAGUCUGUUUAUUGGUAGGUUAUUGUGAUAGUGAAAUAAAAAUAAAAUCAUUAAAACCAAAUCUAUCUACUUUCCAAUCGAAAAAAGUGUGAAUUUCGAUACUAAUUGAAAACAUGUAGCUAAUAAAUAAUUAAUUUUGGUUAAAUCAUUCAGUCAUUUCACCAUUAUAAUUUAUUCAUCUUCUAUUAGUGUCUUAUUUUAUUGUUUACCUUUAUCUCUUUCUUAUUUUUAUUCUGUCGUUGUUAUAAAUACUUAUGUUUAAUAAGUAAUGGAGUUGUACCGACCGUCCCUAGAGUAAGUGGCAAAGGGCUUGGUGGUUGGUACUCGAGACCCAAGUUCAAAUCCUAGUUGAUUCACAUUUCCAGCUAAGUUUAUUUCUAAAUAAAAUAAACGAAGCGGGUAGCGUGCUAUCUAUCUCCCUAAAAAAAAAGAGAAAAAAGUAAUGGAGUUGUACAAAAUUAUAUAUAAACUAGUAAAGGACCCGCACUUCGCGGCGGGUAAUCAAAUAAUGGUUAGUGUAUCUAUUUUUUUUUUUAUUAAAACAAAAAUCAAGAAAUAAAUCUAAGUAGAACUGAUAUAAUAAUUUGGUAAGCAUAUAAUAAAGUGCUUACAAAAUAAAUAAUAGAACAAAGAAAAUGCAAGUUCACAUAUUCAGUGCACUCCAACAUCGAGUAGAUUCAACUAUAGUUCCAGACCGUUGGAUCGGAACAUCCGCAUAAGCUAAAAAUUUUCCUUCAGCAUCUACUGUCACGACGAACUGCGUCAUCUCCACCUGAAGUUGUUUACAUAUUUCAUGGAGCAACCUAACAUAGGAAAGAUGCACUUUCGACAUACUGGCAGCUACAGAAACGAACAAAGAUGCAAUAGGGAAAGAGCAAGACGGAAGGGGGAAGGGAAAAAAGAGAAAAAAUAGUCAAUAAGUAUAGUAAAUAAUGUAUGAAAUAUAAUAUUGGAGUUAGAGAUAUCAACGGGUCGGAUUCGGGGCGGAUUUUUAAAAACCCGAACCCGAACCCGACUCCAAACCCGAGACCCGAACCCGAACCCGAACCCGACGGAUUUUAAAAAUCCAUAUCCAAACCCGAACCCGACCAAAAAUCCGAAACCCGAACCCGACCCCGAACCCGAAAAUUUGAACCCGAAACAAUUAUUUCUUUUUUCAAUAUUUCAAAAUAUAUUAUAUUAAAUUUAAAAUUUUAAAAUACAAAUUCAAAUAUAACAUCAAAUUUAUAUAUAUAUAUAUAUAUAUAUAUAUAUUAUACAUAAUACAAAAUAAAUUCGGGUUCGGGUCGGGUUCGGGUUCGGGUUCGGGUCGGGUACAAUCAAAAUCCAUAUCCGAAUCCAUAUUCGUCAGGUUUUUAUUUUUUAUAUCCAUAUCCAAAUCCAUAUCCAUAUCCACCGGAUAUAUCCGUUUCAUUCGGGUUCGGGUUCGGAUAAAAUUUCGGCUAUCCAUACCCAUUGACAUUCCUAAUUGGAGUUGUAAAAGCAGGAAAUAAAAUAUUAAAGUUGCUAUUUAUAAACCAAAGAAGUUACUGUUUAUGUUUUGGCCACGCACUGGCAGCGCGGCGAAAAAAACCAAGGAAGUAUGGGUGCCACGAACAACUCAAACAAUAAAGAUGUUGUUUAGGUUUUGCUCGGGCACCGGUAGCGCCGCGGUAAACCAAGGAAUAAAAUUGAGUGUUGAAAAAGCAGGGAAAAAAACACUAAAGUUGCUAUUUAUAAAAAAAUGAAGAUGUUGUUUAUGGUCUGGGGACGCACUGGCAGCGCGGUGACACGGGCACCAGCAGCGUGGAGAAAAACCAAGAAAUCAAAUUGAGAGUUGAAAAAGCAGGGAAAAAACACGAAAGUUGCUAUUUAUAAAACAAUUAAGAUGUUGUUUAUGGUCUGGGCAUGCACUGGCAGCAUAGUGAAAAACAGAUGCGAAGACCAGAAAAAUAAAGAAAUGCAAAUGCAGAAUCGGGAAGAAAGAAGCAGGCACAUUUUACAUUGGAAGUAGGGGUGCCAAUUAAAGUAAAUAGGCUCAGAUUGUGUUGGAUUGUAAGACAUGCCAUCGCAAAAAAAAAAAAAAAAAAACCGACUGUUAAAGUGGCAAACGAACAAUGGCCACCGAAUAUAUGUCCAAUUUUCAUGCAAUAUUCGCGCACGCACCACAAGUAGGAGCGGUUGUCCGCGCAUGGGCCAUCCAAGCUCGUCAGUUGCGCCGGCCUUGGUUUGUAGAUACCCAUAGAAAAUCUGCAGCUGUGCAAUUUGGGUAAAAAAAUAUUUUGAAAGUAGGAAAGCUACAAAUAGGCAAAAACAUGUACAACCAAAUCCCAAAAUGAACAUUACCGAUAUCGAGGGCUUUAAUUACAAAUUAACCCGAAAAUACUCAAUAGCAUAGCAGGCCAAACGCAUUGGUUGUGCCUAACCUAGUUUUUUAUUUUUUAGCCCCACCGCACAUCAUCACAUCCGUUGAAAAAACCAACAAAAGGAAUAAAGUGAAAAAAAAAAGAUGGAAAAAAGCAGCAGAAUAAAUAAAUUCCAUUAAACCAGAAAAAAAGAAAAGACAAUAUUAAUUAGAACACUGUGAAAAAAAUAAUAAAGAGAAAAAAGAAAAAAAUCCAAGGCUGAAUAGCAAACAAGAGUAUGAUAAAAAAGCGGGGAUAAGCGGCUAACUGCUAACCGAACACUAACCGAGGCGUAACUGCACCAACCAAAUGUGCAGAUGCGAGUGGUUGCCCGCAAGCGGGCCGUCCAAACUCCGUGCGUGCAUCACAGAUGUGAGGGAGGGCAGUACUAGGUAGUUGCCCAUAUAGGGACACCUCCCCACCCAAAUAAUUGGCUGUGCAUGGCCCAAUCUCCUUGUUGCCAAGUAACAUCACCAUCUCGCCGAAAUUUUUUUAAAACAUCAAGAACAUGCAGACAAAAAGUAAAUAAAUAAUGUAAAUAGUCAACGUUAUCUAGUGCAGAUUAUGGGAAUAAGUAUGCCACAGUUAAAGCCAGCAUGUACGAUUGUCUAAGCGAAAAGGACAAAUGAAGCACCAAAGAAGGAGCCAAGAGCGGUUGCCCGCUUGGCGGGCCGUCCAAACCUGCUUAGCAAUGACAGAGACAUUUUUUUUUUCACUUGCACAUCAACAGGGUGUAAAAAAAUAUUUAAAAAAACCACCAGCAAUCUAAAAAAUUGCUCGACAACGGCAAAGCCAAUUUUUUUCUCACUUGCAUAUCAACAGGGCCUUAAAAAAACUUAAAAAAACCACCAGGGAUUAAAAAAAAAUCAACGAAAGAUCAGAAAAAAUUAUAAAAAUAAAAUAAACUGGUAGGAAUCAAACUAAACAUGCAGGAAAGGGAUGUCUGUGAAUAGGACGCCCAAAAUCCCCCCCCAAAAAAAUGACAAUGACAAAGCCUCUUAGUAUAUUCAAAAAUCAAGAAAAUGAAAUUCAAUCAAAAUAAGGAAAAUACCCUUAGAAAGGCGGAAAUUUAUAGACACCUAAGUAACAAAAGACUGAAGAAAAUUUAUGGUGUGCAGGAGAUUAAACAACAGACUGUAGAAAAGUUGCGGUGUGUAGGAGGUUAAUAGCUAUGUAACAAUAAAAUGCCAGUUUUUAUCUUUUAUGCUUCAAAAAGACUUUUAUCCCACCUUUAUAUUUGUGUACAGAAACAAUCUGUACUGUGUUGAAAAGGCUAGCCUAUUUAUAGAAAAGCUAUAGAAGGUCAGAAGAGAAAAGAAAAGGAAGACUUAAGCAAUGUCCAUCAUCUCUCUCAGUAGAUUCAAAAAAAUUAAGAAAAAAUAUAUCUAUCACAUCGUUGCUGUCGAAUCAGUGGGCUGGCAAAGCCCUCAAAGGAAGACGGAGAAGAGAAAGAAGAUAGUAAAGAGUAGCACCGGCGACCAGGAGGGAGAGGAGGUAACAGCGACCGUUGGAUCGGCGAGCAUAGCAACCUGAACCAUUGGAUCGGCCAAGUAGGGUAGGUGUAGGCGACCAAAUCAUGAUGCCUAACGAUGGACAGCUCAGGCAUCGGAGGAGCGAAGGGAGGAGAGGAUAGAGGUGAGAGAGAAGAGAGGAGAGAGAGAGAGAGAGAGGCGGUGAGAGAGAGAGAGAGGCGUCUCGAGAGGGAGAGAAAGAGGAGAUGAGAGAGAGAGAGCGGCACUUCGGGUAUCGGAGGAGGCACGUGCAAGGAAUGUGUGGAGGGGAGGGGGAAGGGAGCCAUCCGAUGAACAAAAUGGACGGCCCGAAUUGAGCGCCUGUUGGAGAAGGGAAAGGGCACGUUUCGGGCACCUUUGGAUUAUUAGAGGUGUAACAUACCGGACUUCUAAAGUUAUGAAGUCACGGUGUAUGUUGGGUUGGAAAACUAUUUGAAUGGUUCCAGUGAGGUUCGGUGAAGUUCGGAAGCUUUCGGGCGUUUCGGUGCGCGUAGGCGCGAAAACGGAACCCGAAAGGCUAUGUUGGGCCGUGAGCUAAGUUCGGCAUUAGCGUGGAUGAAAAGAUGAUGGAGACAUGUUCGAAAAUAUGUUUGGAGAAUGUAACAUAUUGGAACCCAGAAGGAAUUAUCGAACUUUAGCCAAAUCGACUCAAGUAUGCGAAGAAGAUGGAUGGACAAGUCCCAAUUAACAUUCCAACACUGUUGGAAGGGUUAAAAGUAAGCUCUUAAAGAGUUGGAAGGGUUUUGGCAUUGAACGGCGUGAAGUAGAGCGGAAUCGAAGUCAAAAAUGACAUUCUGGAUAUGUUGUACUGGUACAAGCCCAAUGGUUGUACCGGUACAACCAGCGAAGCUCUCGGGUUGGAGCUGCCAGGCCUUGUACCGGUACAAGGGGCCUUGUACCGGUACAAGCCCUGCGUAACCGAGAGAACCAGCUCUCGGGUUGGGCUGUCUGCCAGGCCUUGUACCGGUACAAGACCCCGUGUACCGGUACAAGGAGCCCGAACAGCGGGAGAUGUUUCAGAUAUGGAAAAAAUAGAGGGGUUUAAUUGCAAAUAUGCCUAUAUGAGGGCUGGGGGUCCACUCCUCUCUUAUUUCCCUCUCUUUUCUCUCCCUCUCUCACACCUCUCUUGCUCUCUCUCUCUCUCUAAACCGAAAAGAGAAAGAAAGAAGAAGAAGAAGAAAGGAAGGAGAGGAAGAACAAGAAAAGAGGAGGAAAGGAAGGAGAAGAAGUUAUUGAAGAGGAGAGUCCUCUUCAUCCUCUUCUCCUUGUGCAAGAGAACAAGCUUGGUUGAGGUAAGCUUUGAACUCUUUAAUUGUAGAUCUCUAAGGAGUGGGAUUUAAACCAUAGAUCUUUGGUUUUGAUCUAAUUACAAGUGUAGAAACAUUCUAGUAGCCAAGAACACCAUGAAAUCCAUGGUUUCUCAUGAUGCUCUAAUGGUGGAUUUCUAGGGUUUGUUCUAAACACCCUAGAAAUGGUUCGAAUGCUCCUGGUUGAGCUCCUAGGUGAUAAACAAGCUCUCUUUUGCUUGUUUUAUAGAUCGAAUCCGGAGUAUUGAGCAUAUACCACAUUAGGGCAUUCCAAAGAGGGGUUUUGCUCAUGUGGGGUUUUGAUCUAUUUUGACCCCUUGGAAACCUAAUUGGGGACCUAACAAACGCGUUGGCGAAGUCGGUUUAACCAUUCGUCGAGUGUACGCGAAGUUAUUGACAAAAUAGUAUUUUGUCGUACAGAUGGCCGCAGCACGCGAAAUAAACGCAUAAAAAUCGUGGGAUCGGAACCGGAGCACCUUGGAGUCAAGGAAUAAGCACCGGAAAAGACGGAUCGCGAUUCGGAGGUCGUUCGCUAGACGCGCAAGAGUUCGGGCCAAACCGGGCAACGGUUGUCGCGGGAGGCCGAUUGCAAGUGAUUACAAGCAAUCGGAGCGCAAAUUAAGGUGGGUUGUGUUUACCGAAGCGACUAGGUCGCCCUUAUUUCUAAGAAAUGUUAAAAAUCUAUGUUGACGCAUAUAAAUGUAAUUAGGACAUGUAUAGGAUGCAUAUAGCUAAUGCUAAUUAAAGUAUGUUGGUAGUAUGUGUAAAAUGCUAUGUAAAUGCAUGACGAGCAUUGUGAGACUAUAUAUAUGCAUAUAAACUAGAAUAAUGCAGGUAAGCACAAUGCAUAGAAUAAAUUGCAUGAUGAUGACAUAUUCAUGUAGAAAUGAAUGUUAGAUAAAGUGCAUGCGAAUAUAAGAUGCAUAUUAAGUAAACACAUGAACUAUGUGCAUGAAAAAGAUGAUAUAUAAGUGCAUGAUUGAGAUGCUAAUGAUAAAUGCAUAAGACAUAUGCCUAGAUAUGAAUGUGAAAUAAGAUUAAUGAACUCUAAGUAGAGUAAAGAAUUUGACAUUGUAAAUUAAGAAUAUCGAGUGGCAUGUCAAUUGAGAAUCCUAAGUAUAAAUAACUAGGAUGAUGAGUGGCAAUGAAACCUAGUGUCAUUGAACAUAGGUUAAUGAGAAAGACAUUGCGCCUCAUGUUAGAGAACAUAGGUUGAGAGUUCAAGUUAAUGAACCUAGCGUUAAAUUAAACCUAGGAUAUGCGAUACAAGUGUUAAACCUAGAGUCAAGUAAACCUAGGUUGGAAAGGACAAUGGACCUAAGUAGGUCGACACUAUAGGGUUACAAGACCAACCCUUGAGUUAUGUAAAGUGGAUUCCGGAAUCCUGGCUGCGAGUGCAGCGGCUGCUAGUGCAGCAUAUGAGCUCGGAAGUUCUUGGUCGCGAGUGUAUGUGGCAAGGUUCCUCUCCCAUCGGAAGAACUUCGAGGUUUGUGAUCGAGCAAGAACAGUGAGCGCUAGGGUGUAUGUGGCAUGUUCCUCUCCCUAUCGGGGAUCUCGGCUGCGGGUGUAUGUGGCAUGUUCCUCUCCCACCGAGGGAUCCCUGACCACGGGGUACGCUAGGCGACCCGUUGGGCGAUGUGGUUCUUGGUCUGUAGGCUGAGGUGCAUGCGAGAGUUCCUUCACCUCGAGCCGGACAGAGCGCGGUUUAUCCGCUGUUGAUUGACUCAAGAUCGAGUCGGGUGGCAUAGUGUGACCGAGGUAUAUAUAACCUUAGGAAAGAAUGGCAAGUAAAGAGCAAAGCUAGCUAAGAAUAAAGAAUGGCUAAAGAAUGAGAAUAACAAAAGAAAAGAAUAAAGAACGGCUAAUGUAAAAGAAUAGCUAAUAAAGUAAAGAAAUGUUACGAGUAAAGAAUGGCCGAGAAUAUAAAGUAGGACAAAGUAAUCUACUUGCAUAAGUACGGGGUUUGCAUAUUGCAUUUUGGGAGGCAGGACAUCUUAGUUCAAUAUCUGCUAUAUAUCUGUUAUAUGUUAUUGGACUAACUUGUUACAGGGCCUCAUUAGACAUAUCGACCGAGCUUUUUCCUUGGGUGGCCAUACCCACUGGGAACCAUGGAGUUGGUUCUCACCCCACAUUGUUUUGGGGUGUUUACAUGUACACACGUGAGCGGCGCGGCGGCGCGAGGCAAGGGCGUAGCUCCGUAGAUAGCGCCCUACCCCAGAGACCGAGGUAGCAGUACCCGAGUUGGUGGUCUAGCUUGGGAGGUUUAAAGACAAGAACAAACUUUUAUCAAGUUGUAAGAUUUGGAAUUGUAUUCGGAAGCUUAAUGUAAAAGAAAAUUAUGUUGUAAUAGCUUAGUAGUUUUAUGUUUUUGAUACUUCCUUAUGCAAUCUAUGAAUGAAUACUGCUCCUGUUUGGAACCUCUUGUAUUGAUUGCGACGCUUUGGACGUACAGGGGAGACUCUGUCCGCGGCACAGGAAAACCCUGUCCGUUCGGCGGUCUGUUAACGUGCCCGAACCCGACCAAAUAGGCGGGGCACGGGGCGUGACAAGAGGGCUGUGGUAGACCGUUGGAUCUGGAGCAAAAGAAGGGGCAAUGAGAGCCUGCCACGUGGCUGAAUAGGAGUCUCAAAUAGUAAGAUUGUAUAGAACAUAAAAUCAAACAAGAUUAUUAUACUAAACUCGCAAAAUAUUGUAAUCAGAUUUAUGAUGCUUUUAUAUAUUUUGAUCCACAUCGAGAUCCACAGAAAGCCGAUCUUACAAACUUGAUAAAAUCUAAUAUGCAAUUUGCCUUUUCUUUUAUUGUAAAAUCAGCUAGUAAAAACCAACGUAAAAUUAAAGACAUUCAAAAUUCGUUAAUUUUACAUACAAAAUAAAAUUGUGGCGAAUUAAAUAAUAAACGAAACUAAUAAAAACUUUUAAAGGAAGUAUUUUUUUUUAAAAUCAGGAUAAUACAAUUAAUAAGAUAGGACUUGCACGCGAAGCAACAGUAUAGUAGGAUCCAAGGUGAAUUCAAUUUUUUAUGAUUUGGUCCUUCUCUCUUUUGGGGGGUAAAAAAUUAUUACAUACGAAAUUGUAUCCUACAAAUCUGUAAAAAUAAAAGGGAAACAUUUAAAGCUUUAAAUAGAACCUAAUUUUUCUGAUUGCAGCAACAGUUCUGUACGAUUCAAAGAGCAAUAGAAAGAAAGCAGAUUAUUUCGAACAUUACUUUUGAUCUUGAAAUUAUAAGUAGUAACUUUUCUUACAAAUACAAUCACCAUCUUUCUGCUCAUUUUCAUAUAUAUUAGUUUAGACAUAUUUUGAAUCUAUAACUUAUUUAGAAUUUUUGAUAAAAAAUUAUAUAGGAGAUGCUCAAACUUAUUUAGAAUUUUUGAUAAAAAAUUAUAUAGGAGAUGCUCAAUACUUUGUGAUCAAAAUUAGCUUUAAAAUUUUUGUAUUUAAUAAAACCAAAUAUUUUGUACUAAAGCAUUGACUUCAUACUGAUGCUUUUCUUCCGGUGCUCUUCUUUGUAUUUAUUAAAAAAAUUAUUUUAUAAAUAAAAAUAUUUUAUUAUUUACAAAUUAUCUAUAUAUAUUUUUUUUGUCGCAUAGCAGGGGUUAUUUCACUAGUUUGUAUGAAAAGAAAAUAGGAGAAAAAACCAAAAAAUUAGAAAAAAAAAUAAAAUUUGUCUUUUGGAUUGAAACAUGAAGAGAACUUAAAAUAUGGAAAGAGAAUAAAAGAGAAAUAGAGAGAAAAUCUCCUAAUAUAACUGUUAAUAUUCUUUUUCUCCCAAAAAAUUUAAAGAGAGAGAGUAUAUAUAUGUAUAUAUUUUCUUUUCAUUCAAACAACAUGAUUUUUUCCAUCACAAACAAAAAAAACAAUAUGGUUUUAGGAUAGGUUUUUAAAUACCUGAAUCUAAACCCGACUACCAAAAUUGAAACCCGAAUCCAAAUUCGUCGAACUUUGAGAAUCCAUAACCAAAAAUGAUCUUGACAACAAACCGAAAUCUGAAAUCUAGUCCAAAGACUCGAACCAUAAAUAUGAUAUAAUAUAAAUAUCUUUUCCAAAUUUUAAAAAAUAUCAUACUCAAAUAUAAAUUUUCAAGGUGUUGAUGCCAAAAAAUUAGGCAGGAAAGGUUGAGAAGUGGGUUGUAAAUUACGCGAUUACGGCUACAACACUCCCCCACUAUUAAAAACGAUCAAUAAUGUAAGCUGAGAAGACAUCAUUAUAAAUAGUAAUUUCAAAGCCUGUUAAAGAGGUCUUCUCUCUCAUGAAUGAGAAGACCACUGUAUUUUCAAUACUUCUACUUUCUACAUUUAUCGUUUUUCUAUGAGUAGUUUACUUGUAAUUCUUUUCUUUUUUUCGCAUUUACUGUCUUUUUUAGGAAUAGUUUGUAGAGUAGAUUUUCCUUUGAGAUCGUACGUCAUGAUAGCGUACUCUCUUUUGUAAACAUUUUUCUGAUUUUGAGUAAUAUUUGAGCUUUCGGCUCUUUACCCGAACCUGAGAUCUCUGUGUAGUCCAUACACUCGGUUGAUCCAGCUGAACCAGAUUUAUUGUAUUGAGACGUGGUCCGAUCUCUCAUAAACCGAAUCGUUUGAUCUGAUUAAGGGCGCAAACUUCGAGAGUCAUUAUUGUAGUCGUUUCGCCUCCUCGCACGCUUCACGAAGGAGGAUCUUUGACCGGGUCAGCGGUUGAAGGAUUCGGCUCGCAACACAAGGUACAAUUUCAAAUAUUUAAAUACAAUAUAAUAUAAAUCGGUUCAGAUACAGGUUCGAAUUUGGGUCUGUAAAGAUUAAAUUCAUAUCUGAACUUAAAGACAUCGUGCUUUCAUAUUUUAUAUAUACCUAUAACCGGAAAAAUUCUAGAAUGCAAUGGGUAUAUUGAUGACAUGGCGUAACAAACCAAUCAAAAAAUUCUUUUUAGAAAUAUAUGUUCCAUCGUGAUUGUAAAAAAAUAUUUUUAUUGUACUUUUGUUUGAAAAAAAGAAAAGGUGAUUGGCUUGUUAUUGAUGACGUGGUGCAAGUGUGAUAGUAUAGAAUUCCUCCUAUAAUCGAAGGCCUACUUGUCUAGCGUCGAUUAAAUUUAUUUUUUUUAUUCAAAUUUAAAUAAUAUUUUAGAUAUCCGUACUCAUUGACAUUUUCAUUUUAUUCAAUGGAAAAGUUUAGAAUUUUUUUUUUUGGGUCCCCACCAAACUCUUCAAAAGAAAAGUCCAACACCACGAAACUAAUAUUGUGGGUCCCACACAGUACAUCUCAGCUUCCUAAAAACCAAUAAAAUAAAUAAAUAAAUAAAUUAAAGGCUCAAAAAAAAAAGCAUAAAAGCCUCUUCCCCCCUCUCUCCCCUCGACAAACAUCGUUUACUCAAUAAAUCCCCCAUUUUCCCCCUUUUUUUUUUUAAUAUUGGUUUUGUGCUCUCCUACUAGGGCAAAGAAACCCUAGCUACGGUUCUCGCCGACGCGGGCGAAAAUGUCGGCGUCCGACUCGGAGAAGAGGGCGGAGGAGGGCGAUAGCGACGGCGGCGGCGGCGGCGGCGAAGGUGGCGGCGGCGCCGUCGGCGGGGAGCUGCUGUACUGUGGGGGGACGAGUUGGGAGACGAUGGGGCGCAAGGUCGUGGGCGGGGCCACGGGGAACCUCGUCGCCCCCACGCGGCUCCGGCCCCUCGUCGGCGUCGACGUGCGCUUCGUCGCCUCCGGAUGCAGUGAGUUCGUGUUCUCUCCCCCUCUCUCUCUCUCCUCUCUCUUGCGCAUUCGAUGAUCGAUCUCUCUCUUACAUUUGCUGAUGUUGUUGUGAUGAUGGUGUUGAUUGCUAUGUGUUUAUAGGUUUAACUUGUUUGAAAUGCUGAGUUGGGUUUGGUUUUUACUUCAUGUUGGUGUAAAGAUGCGUUCUUGAUGUGUGAUUUCCUUGAAUACCAUGUGUUUGUAAACUGUUCUUGUUAGUUUGCUCUUCUCAAUGUGGUGGAACUUGGAUCAAGAGGGAUUCUUGCUGGUCUAAAGCUUAAGUUUUGAUUGAUGGUCUGUUGAUAUGACAGUUUCUCGAAUACCAUGUUUCUAGCGAAACUUGUUCUGCUUGGAUGAGUUCAAGGCUGUUAAGUAAUUCUUGUGAUUCUUGAGGAUGACGGUGUUUAGAAAUGCACUCUGAAAGAAAGGAUGUUAUGAAGUGGAAGUGUGAGAAAAUGAUGUGAGUUGUGAAGUAUUGCUGCAAAAUGUGAGAUAUGUUUUUCUUUUUCUCAUCUUGUUAUAUUACUUCCUCUGUGGUUUUAAUUAAAGUUGUGGAGCUGCGGAUAACACAAUGGCAAUCCAGAUCAUGAAGUUUGAUAGGAAACUUCGAAACUGAAACUGAGAUGUUCCUUCUUUUGGCUGGUGUCAACUGGGAACUAUGGUCUAGAACCAGUUGAAUAUUAACUUCGGUUAGAAUGGUCUAGAAAGGUUUAGGACUACAGCAUAAUUUACGUAUUUCAUUUUGUUGUACUCUGUCCUUUUGAGGAAACGACAGUUUGAUAUUUAUGUUGUUUUUGUUUGUUUUGUUUGUUUUAGAAGUACUGAAUUCUUCAUGUCGUUUGUGUAAAAUGUAAAUGCAUGCGUUUAAUUGUUUUUGUCGAAAGCAUCUCCUUGUUGACUAUUUAGCAUAACUAUUGCAGCUGCUUGUCACUGUGUGGCGUUGGAUGUUGAAGGUCGCUGCUAUACUUGGGGAAGAAAUGAGGUAGAGUUACUACUUGAAAAUAAUUGCACGUUGUCAGAUGUUUUACUCUGUGAUAUUCUUGCAGAAGGGGCAGUUGGGGCAUGGGGACACUCUUCACCGUAGCUUGCCAACAAUUGUGUCUCAACUAUCAAAGUAAGAUUGCUAAUUCGUCGUAUUUUAAUCUUGUUACUUGGUGACAAGCUGGAUUGGAAUGUAUAAUCAAAUAUUUAUGGUUUUUUUAAAAAGUAAGCAUGAAGAAAUUUUGGCAAUUUGUAUUUGUAAGGAUAUGAUAUCAUAUAACUUUUGUGUUCUGCUUUUUGACUUGCUUAUUUGUAUUCAAACUGAUAUGUAAUUUAAGAUAUUUCUAAAAUAUCAGAAAAUGUGCAAGUACAGUACCUGUAUGCUAGUGAUAACAUAUCUUUGUAACGAAUCUCUAGAAAAUCUAUAGGUCCAUAGAGGCUUGAUGUUAUUUUCUGUAUUUAAAGGCAUUCAACUUUGCCAUUAUUUGAUUCUUUUUAUUUCGUUGUGAUUUUUUCUUUUGCUUACCACUUUGAAGUUUCCUUCCUUAUCUGAGUCAUUAUAACAUGACUUUUUUAACUUAAAUUUUCCCUUUUCAUUGUCUUAAUUGUUGUUAUCGGGAUGAUACAUAGAAUGCAGUAUGAUUUGUCAAAUUUGAAUGGUAUAGAUUAUCAUGAUUAUUCAUGAAAAAAUAACCUUGCAACAAGUUUCCAAUUAAGCAUCUGAUCACCUCGACUAGUGUCAACAUCUUGCUAAAAUUGAGGAAUUUGAUACAUUAGUAUGAGUUUUUAUGUAUCUCAAGCAUUCGUUGCAUAAAAUGACAGUUACAGGCUAUUCAAUUUGAUGAAAACAUUCUUUGUUUGGCACAUCUAGCGUUUUCCAAGAUUUCAGUAGGUCUAACUUCUUUCCAAAAUGCAAAAUUACGUCUUAGAUGCCAAAUAUUGCGAAAAUUGCCCUUAUGCUUGAGGUUUGGCAUGAGAAGUGAAAUGUGGAUUAUGACUAGAACAAAGGUGCACUCUUCUAAUAGUUGUUGUCAUAAUAUAUGUAUUUUAUUUUUUUCUAUGCUUUGAUCCAUGGCAUGUCGUAAUUAUGUAAGAGCUUCCCAUGCCACAAACAUUUCGUUUUGUGUAAUAUAUGGUAUGUUUACAUCUUUUUGAGUAAUAAUAGCAGUCUGGCAGUCUAUGCUGAUCCAGUACGAAAGUUAAGCCUGGAUGUACUCAAUCUCUUGUGAGAAGUUGAUUAUUUUACUUGAGAUGGCCCAGGGAAUUGAUUUUUUUUGUUUCUAGAGUUCUCAGGAAGAAUAUCUUGUGCGCUUUCAUCUGAUCCAUUAGUUCUUGUGGAGUACUUUUUGUUGUCUAUGUGCAUGUUAAUUGAAGGUCAAAUGUUUCUAUCGCCUUCCAGUUCUCUACAUUCUAGUUUUCUACCUUUUAAUGUACUAUAUAUAUCAGGGCAUGAAGUUAAUAUCCCUGAUAAUAUAGGACAAUUGAGAGUAGAUCCCUAUCUAUUUUUCUUUUGAUUGAGAUCCCCUCAAACUUUUAAUUCUUUGAUUUACACUGUUUUCAUCAGUUAAACUAGGAAAUUUGAUUUAAAAGUGGUUCUAUUAUAUUUAAUUGUUCUUCAGCUAAUAGAAUUGCAGAUUUUGCUAACUGGUAACAACUGAUAGUUAACUGAUAAGUUAAUAUUUAUGAACACCCAAUGCAAUUUAGGAAAAUAACUUAAAUUAAAUAAAACAAUUAGAAGUUGAGCGGGUGUCAAUCAAAAGAAAUUUGGUUGAGGGGUCUUUCAAAAUCUCCUAGACUUGAGACCCCCCAUCUAUAUUUGCCUUUAAUUUUUCACCUCAGUACAGUUGAGCCUUAGAGGAUGUUAGAUUCCUCUACUGAAUACGGGCUGAUUUGAAGUUCUUGAUGAUGCAGAUACAAAAUUGUAAAAGCCAGUGUGGGAAAGAACCACACUGUAGUUGUAACUGAAGAUGGAAAAUCAUUCUCAUUUGGCAUGAAUAAGCAUGGGCAGUUGGGGACAGGUUCGGUGAAGAAUGGUUAGUACUAUUGGACUGUCUAAUUACGCUUAUCAUCCAUGUCUGUAUCCUAAAGUUUUAAUCCAAUAAUUGAAAAUGGUUUUAGUUUGUAUGCAGUAUGGGCAAGAAUAUUCGGCAGUCAAAAUAUUAGAGUAUUGCUUAUAAUGAAUUAUGAACAGGGUGAAAGGAUGGGGCUAACAUAAUAUGUCAGGAUUUUGCUAAUUUUUCUUUGAACAGAUAAAUGUAUCUAAGUUUUAUUUCUGGAAGCAUAUUGAUGGCAGUAUGUGACUUAUGACAAAAUCAACCAAAUUCUUGAUGUCUCUUGUCAAUUUUCCAUAUUAGUGUCUUCAAACCUCGAACUUGUCUUAUUUGGGUUUGGGUAACUAUAUAUGUUUAUGCUGCACAAUAUUUACAUAUGUAUAUCUAUGCUGUAAUUGUCUAACUCCAAUGAAAUAUGAGUCAUUGUAGGGCAACUAAGUUAUCCAGAUCUAACAGGUUUUAUGUGCUAUCAAUUGUGAGCCAAUAAAUAGCUUGGAUAGCAGAUCCUGUCAUUCUACAUGUUCUAUUGAUAUUUUGUAUAACUAGUGAGAUGCAUGUGAGGGUUUUUUAGUGCAAUAGUCUUCUCCUAAAAUUUUAUUCUAAAAAUAUACCUGUUAAAUUUUUAUUUGUAAAUAUGGUCCUAUAAAAGCGGUGAAUGGUUCACCGCUUUUAAAAGCGGUGAACCAUUCAUCACUUUCUUUCUUUUUUUAACUUCUUUAUAUAUUUUUACGAUGGUAAGAGCGGUGAAUGGUUCACCGUUUUUAUUCUUUUUCUACUCCUAAAAAGGAGUAAUGAAUGCGGUGAAUCAUUCACCGCAUUUAGAGGUCUAUUUUUAUAAUUAUUUUUAAAAAAAAACUAUUUUUACAAUUAUAAAAAUUGAUUGGAUUAUUUAUAAAAAAAAUUCUGCAUGUGACCUAUUUCUGUUUCAGCAACAAAUCCAUUGUUAAAUAGAUCAACAUCUAGGUUGCAUGGACACAGACGCAUGACACGGGACACGACGUGAUGACUCAUCAACUUUGAAAAAAUGAGGACAUGAACACAAUUGCAACACAGCUAAUAGAUAUAAUAUUUUUUAAAAGAUUAUAUAUCUAAAGACUGAUCGAUGUGCCAAAGUACUAAAAUUCUAAUUUUUCUCACCUAUCAAAAGAAAAUGAUCUUCUUUAAUUGGUAUAUAUAAAAAACUAAACGAUUUUAGGAAUUUCAAAUGUAAAACAUAUCUUUAACUCAAAGAAUCAGCUAUGCAACAUAAAAUAGUACAAUAUUUCAACCGAUGAUUGCUUAAACAACUAUAUAAGAAAUAGGAAAAUAAAUGCAUAUAUUCUCUUAGAUUUUUGUAUUUUGCAAAUGCAAUUGACGUACUUCAAAGUUGUAUUGCAUGUGCAACGCCAAGAGGGACAUGCAAUUGGCACAUGAAGUGACUAAGAGGAUAAAGGACACAGAAUGGACGUGUCUGUGGAAUGUCUGCCAAGGAAGGCUGUUCAACAUGGACACAACAUGGACACGACAACAUGUGAGAAGUGUCCAUGUUACAUAGAUCAGCAUAAACCUCCUAUUUUUUUUGUUUUUGCAAUUUUGGGCAACUUUUCUGUUUUAGCAACUUCGCCACUUUAAACCAUAAUGGAUCAGAAUAUGCUCGUACAUGAUACAAGAAUCAUAAUUGUCUCAAACACAGUUAAUGGUACCACUCUUCCAUUGUACUCUUCUAGCUCCACUUCUACCACCUUCUACCACAGCCAUUAGCAUAGUAGCUUCUGCAGUCUUGAAAUUUUCACUACAAAGAGACAAAAGUGAUGGUGAUGCAUGAAGCAGGAAAAUUGAUGGUAGUGAAAAUGCAGCAAAUGAUGAUAAUGUCUUAAGAAGCAGAUGUGGUAAUAGUGAUGUGAAGGUACAUUUCAUAUAUGUGGACAUGGGAGGUAAUAUAGUAUGACCCUCAACUCCAAGACUUGGACACUCUGGAAAUAUUAAGACAAGACAUUGUGGGCAUACAGCCAUGUAUACAAAUGAUUAAUAUUCUUUUAUUUUCAAAAUGCAUUGUGAUUUUUAUAUAUUGUCAUCUUCGUGGUCAGACCCUACAGGCCCUCACUGUGUUCAUACUUCAUGGUGACAGUGGUGGGGGUCCUAGUAGCUGAUUGAUAAUUUUGUUGAAGUGUAGAGAAGGGGAAGAUAGACAUGCGAGAAAACUCGAAUCUGCUUAGGUCUACCUCUUGAGUGUACAUUCGUGAUGUGGUCUGUAAUCCCUUUGUUAUGGCAUCAUCCAAUGUCGACCUAUGAAUCUCGAAGAAAACAAAUAAUGCUAUAACAGGCUGCAUUGAUCAGCUUGUUGCUGGGCCCUGCACAUACUUGAAGUUCUCGAUCAUAUCCUAUUUAGGCGCGCCUUAAGCGCGAGCCUCAGCUCCUAGGAGCGAGGGGUGGGUCUCAGCGUCUUAGGGAGUGAAGCGCGCGCCUCAAAUGCGCCUUGUGAUAUUUACGUUUAAUGUGUCUAGGGUUUGGGUUUUGGGGUUUUGGGAUUUUUCAAUAUAUUUUAAAAUGUUAAGGAAUUGAAAAAAUAAUUCUUAAUUUGAACGCUUUUCUUCCCUUUUUCUCUUGGUCAUUCUCUCUUCCACCCCCUAAUGGCAAUAAGCAGCAGCGGUAAGAAGCAAGAAGCAAGAAACAAGAAGCAAGAACUAGCAGCAAGCACUUUUAAGUUGAAAGUUGAAAUAUAAUUUUUUUCUUUUUAGUUUGAGAAUAUUUAUACAUAUGAUUUCAUUACUUUUUUAUGAUUAUUUUCUUUUUAUGGCUAUUUUAAAUUUUUUUAACGUAAAACAUCCAUUUAAAUUAGCCUUGUUAAGAGUGUUUUGUUUUUAUUAGAUGCGCGUCUCGCCUUCUUGAGGCGCGCGCCUCGUGGUGCGCCUUGCAUCUGGGCUCCAGAAGGCUUUUGCGCCUUUUUGCGUCUUGCGCCUUUUCAAACACUCUGAAUCCCUGAUAAGAUCAAGAACAGAAAUAUGCGAAGCUUGAGGCUCAUCGGCUUUUCUCAUCUAGUAGCGGUCUCAUCUUUGCUACUUCAAGCAUGUGAUGCUCUAACUAUGUCUCAACAUCUCAAUUUUUUGCAAGUUAAUCAAGACUCGAUCGUCUAGUAUCUCUUUCAAUGCAUCCUGUGCUAAGAAGCUUGGCUUUGCACAGGCGGCUUUUGUUCUUCUUAAGGGCAUACUUGUGAUAAAAUGUUGACCGUGUCAAAUAUAACCUGACAAACAUAUUAGACUCUAGAGGUGGCUCACCGCUUGAUGUACUUGAAUUCUACCACAACUACGGAUGCGAGUACUCUCAUGGCUAUGGAUCCUGCUACCCUGUAGUUAGCAUUUAUCAACCAAUGGGUGCUUCCCUUUUUGAGGGAGAAUGUUAUACAUAUAAUUCCUCUAUAACCAUAGAUUAUGCUCUUAAUAGUUAUAAUUGCUGCGGAAAAAAGCCUUGAACCUGCAAUACACUUUGGUACCUUAUCUAUUGUAGUACUCUUUGGAACCUUAUCUAUUGUAGUUAUUUGUUGUCUGAUUAUUUGGUUGAUCAAUUUCUGCAGAAAUUGAACCCUCUCCGCUGCCCUGUCUGGUAUCUGAAGUCACGAAUGCUGUUUGUGGAGCUGAUUUUACUGUAUGGUUGUCUUCAGUGGAAGGCUCCUCCAUACUGUAGGUUCCUCACGAAAAUUUGUUCUUCAGUAAUUGAAAUCUUUGCCCUACUUAACAUCUCUUUAUUUGCUUAACAGUAUUGAAUUGGUUCUAAUAAUCACUUCUCUUAGUCUUAACAUUUUUUGUUCAAUGUUAUGCAGGACAGCAGGUCUUCCGCAGUAUGGACAACUUGGACAUGGAACUGACAAUGAGGUCCCGAAAACUAGCUUUUCUUUUAACCUUCUUUUUCCUCAAUACUUGCAAUGUAUUAUGAUUUUUUUUUCUUUUAAACUUUUCCUUGCAGUAUAAUGCUAAAGAUUCAUCUGUAAAACUAGCUUAUGAGCCUCAGCCUCGUCCACGAGCAAUUGCUACAUUUUCGGAAAAAACUGUUGUCAAAGUUGCUUGUGGAACAAACCACACAGGUUCCUUUCUUGCUUUAUCCUUGAAGUUUGUUUACCUUAUCAUGCAUCCUUGUUCAAAGCUAAUAUCAUUCUUUUGUUUCUUUUCAUUGUCUGACCCAUGUGUUCAGUUGCUGUUGAUUCAAAUGGUUUUGUUUACACGUAAGCGUCUACCAUCUAGUCAGUUUCUUGUAAAUCAAUUAUAUAUUUUAUCAUACUUGUUGGCCUCUCCAGAUAAUAUUAUUUCUUCCUACAAGUAUGACUUGUCUAUAUAGCAAUUAUUUUGGGUCCUAUUAUUACAACAUUUGACUGUGCUUACUUGCUCUCUCUGUUCGCUUUUGUGCAGAUGGGGUUUUGGUGGAUAUGGAAGGUAAGGACACUCGAUAAGCAUAGAUUGAUCUUUAUGGGUAUAUUGUCAUUUAGAUCUGGUAACUAAAUGGCACGAAAAGUUGGAAUAAGUAUAGAUGAUUAGUUCUUCCAUUGACCCUCAUAUUUCAGUAAUUUUUCUGCUUCUCACAGUGCUUACAACUAUUCUGUUGAUAUAUAGGCUGGGUCACAGAGAACAGAAGGAUGAGUGGGUCCCUCGGCUUGUUGAAGUCUUCCAAAGGCAUAAUGUUCUUCCUCCUAAUGCUGUAGUUUCUGCAGGUGCCACAAAUUCUGCAUGCACUGGUGGUAUGCUUUUUGUCCCCUUCCAUGAUCUAAUAGUAAAUAUAUUUUCUCUUCUUGCAAUUAUAGAAUUACCUUUCUGUUGGACUAGAGGUAAUUACUAACAAAAACCAGCUUACUUUCCAUGUUAUCUGCGUCAUGUUCGAUGCGUCUCAUUCAACCUUUGACAAAGAGUACAAGAAUCUCUAUAGUUGAUCCGGUGGAGGCAGUUUAAUUUUCAACCUAUUGGAUUACAUCUUUAGAUAUUUUCUAAAUUUAGAAGCUUUAGGAUGAUUCCUAAGCCUCAAUCUGGUUGAGGACUCCAAAUCUAGAAUUUCAGAUUUUUUUUCCACAGGAACUGUAGUCUCUGAGCUUGUUUUGGGAGAAAAAUUGGUAGCAGCUUUUGUCGGCCUGUUUUGGGAGAAAACAUGGUAGCAGCAGCUCCUUAGCAGCAUGUCGCCUUCUUCUUCUUUUUCUUUCCUUAAUUAGAUGUGUAGCCUGCCUAAUUGAGGCAGUUUAUAGGGGACCCAGUGCAAGUGCAUGAGGGACGUAGGACUGGACUUGUAUUAUUGUUCUGCUAGUCCUUUUAUUGUGAAUAAGAUAUGACUGACAACAUUCCUACUUUACCAGGUCAUAAGAAAAUGAGCAAAACCGAUUUAUGAUCUAUUGUUUCAUUGUUGAGGUAACUUCUGAAUUUGGUUUCCAGGAGGAGGACAGUUGUAUAUGUGGGGGAAAUUGAAGACAACUGGUGACGAUUGGAUGUAUCCUAAGCCACUUAUGGAUUUAAGGUUCUUCUCUGAAUAUUCUUUUCUUCAGAAUGUAUUAAACAAAUUAAUUAAAUCGAAAAGAUCAGUCUUUUAUUUUCACUAAAUUAAUCAAAUUAAAUCGAGCAUUCUGAAUUGGGUAACUUAAUUUUCAAAAUCAUGAAAUUCAACCGCAAGUGUUGCUUCAUUAAAUUCAAUUGUUCUAGAGAUAAUCUGAAGUUCAACAUGCAAAAGCAAGCAAAAGCCUUGGGACUUACUGCAAUAUUAUUUUGGUGUUUUGUAACUUCUGGCUACUCGUGUGUUUUUUUUCCUACUAUAUAAAUGGGAGUUGGAACAAUUGUGUAUUUUAGGUUGCUGUGACCAAAUGAAAUUGAUAUGAUGAUUAGGACAUGCAACUAUGUUUCGUUUAGUCUCUAGAGUUGUUUGACAGUCUCUUUUCUUCUGGUUUACUUAAGCUUUUAUUGCUCAUCUGCUUCUUUCUUUGCUGCUUAUCUGCUAGUGAUUUUUGGAGUUCUGACAAUAUGCUUUCAGUGGUUGGAACAUACGUUGCAUGGCUUCUGGUAACAUGCACCAUGUUGUUGGUGCCGACGACUCGUGCAUAAGUUGGGGGCAUGCCCUGUAUGGGGAGCUUGGAUAUGGUCCCCUCGGACAGAAGUAUGUGCAUUGAUAUCCUUGAUGAAUUAUGGAAAAUAUUUUAGUUGAUUAACUAUUGUUUUCUGAGUUCCUAUGUAAUUGUGAUUACAGGUCAUCUGCAAAUCCAAAGAAAGUUGAUAUUCUAGAUGGUAUGAACGUCACAAGGUAACUAUGCUGUAUUGUGGUCUUCUGUUAGAAAUGUUAAUUUUAGGAUGUAUGUUUCUUUCUAAUUAGAAAUACUUUUGCAGCGUGGGAUGUGGGUAUGGAUUUUCUCUGAUUGUUGUUGACAGAACAAAUGCUGGUGAUCGAUUGGAACAGGUGACUGAGAAAUUUCUCUACUUUAUUCUAUUCUAAAUUUCUAAUUGCAUUUUUUUUUUGGUUCAACCAGAAAUCGAUAUUUAUAGAACUUAAAAAAGAAUACUCUGGUACUUGUAUUGUAAAAGCCUAGACACCUGAAGUCUUGUUUGGUAAUGUGGUGGCUAAAAGCACCAUAUUUAUAGCCUGGAAGGCCCAAAAAAGAAAAACCUAAAAGCACUUUCAAUCUUUCCUUCUCUCAUUUUAUAAUAUUGUGGUUACAACCACCACUCGAGAAGCAUGUUGCUAAAGGCUUUGCUUUUCUAGUGGUGAUUGCAAUUGCAAUUUUAUAAUUUUGGAGGGGAAAGAUCGUAAGCACUUUCGAAAAUUUUAGUCUUUCUGUGGUGUAAAAAUACUGCUUUUAGCCACUACAUUACCAAACUAGAGCCGAAAGAAUUUAUGAGCUUGAGGUUUGUAUAUUUAGCUCCACUGAUACUGUUUUGUUGUUUCUUUUUAUCAUUUUCGGUUUAUAUCUGAAAUCAAUUUAUAUUUGUAGAUUAGGUCUAAACCUAUUUAUGGAAUAAACAUUCCAAGUCAAUUUGUAGAGGAAUAGCAAUUUUUAAUUUUUGUGCUCUUGAAUCUUUGGUGAGGGUAUGUAACAUUUUUUUUGCCCCCUAAAUUUUAAAUCGAACUCUUGUUGAAUAGCAAAGAACAUUUUGUCAAUUAAAUAUUUUUGUAGUGUCUAUUACAAAGAUUCGGCUCUCUUCGGAACAAGGCUAAUAACUACUUUUUCUUGUCUGCCUAUUCGUGUUUCUCCAUCUUGGGUGUCAUAGAAAGAUAAAAAUGGCCUGCUGCUUCAAUUAUACCCUUCCCUGAAAAGUGCAAGGAUAGAGAUUUUGUUGUAUGUAUUGUUUGAAUUUGGACAUCUCAAAUUGUUAUUGUCUUUUAUUCUUACGGACAUUUUUCAAAUUUGUAGUUCUUUUUCUGUCUAUAUACUUAUUUAAUAAUAGAUUUUUAGACUGGAAAACAUCACAAAUAGUUUGCCAAAGUAGUGGCAUGUUUUGGCUCACUUUUGUUAUAAGAUACUUCGGCGCGCAAAAAUCCAUUUAUCGUAACCUUUUAACUUUUCGCUCUAUUUACAGCUGGAGAUUUAUGAUGGUGACCCUUCCUCUGAAGGUACAAUUAUCGCACCAUUUCUUUUUGCUCUAUUUUGUAAAAAAUUGCCAUGUUUUGCAUGAUAAUAAUAAUUUAUUCCUGCGUCAAGAAAUUUAUGAAUCUGUAUUCUUUUCUCCCAUCCUACUCCCCUUCCCAUUUUUUUGUAAAUUGACUGUAAUACUCAUCGCUGUAAGCCCAGUUUGCUGGGAGCUAAAGAUUGGAGAAAUAUAGCCGUAAGCUUUUACAGAUACUCAGAUAUUCAAUUUUCUGCUUGUUGGUGUAGAACUAGUACUCUUUGUUUCUCCAAGAUGGGGAUAGAUUUCAUCAGCCAUUUUGAUCAUUUUCUAUACAUAAAGAAUAAUCACCCACUCCGGCACACUUCGCAAUUUUGCAAGCAGUUAGUGAAGUAUUUAUGAGUUAUUGUAGAGCCCAAAUGCACUUACAAUUGUACGAUGUUAUUGAUUACGGUAAUGUUGUAAUCUAGCUAUGAUAUGCUCAGUUUGAUGUCACUUCAAAAUGUUAAUUAAGAUACUGUAUGUUUAUUAACAAACUAGCGUCUUAAUUUCUGAUUACAUACCGUAGUUGACUUCCAUCUUCCAAAACUGAGUUCCACUCAAAUGUUAAAUUUGCUUCAGGAGUAGAGAAGAGCAAUAAUGCAAAUGCUGCAGCUACGAAGAACACGCCAACUACUGCUAAAUCUUCUGCGAGAAAUUCCAAGAGAAGGAAGAAGGAUUUGUCAGAGUCAGAAGAAGAGGAAGAGGAAGAAAUGGAUGACGAUGACGACGCUGAUGAGGACGACGAUGAUGGCGAUGAGGACGAUGAUGAGGAUGCGAAUGGAGAUGCAAAGCGCGGGCGCAAGCCAUCUAGCAGGGGACGAGGCGGUGGCGGCGGUAAAAGAGGGAGAGGCCGACCUAAAGCUGCUGAAAGAAGCGCUAACGAGAAACCAGCAAGCUCUGGGCGAGGCCGCGGGCGAGGAAGAUCGGGGAAGAGGGGGAGGCCUGGUAGGCGAUGAUGAUUAACUAUUUAACACCUCAUGUUUUGACAAGAGAAAGGCUGAAUGGGCAUCCGGGAAAAGUUUUAAUCUCUGAUUUCUAAUUAUUAUUUAAGCGUUGUUUCUGACAUAGAGGAUUUUGGUAACAAUUGGGGGAUUUCUUUAUGUAAUUCUGAAGGAAGGUUCUGAAGUUCAUGGUUGUAUGUUGUAAAAUGUUCUUAUUAUUCUGUGUUACAUUUAUUUAGGGUGCCAUUUCGGCAAAAUGCUUGUUUUCGUUCUUUUUCUGAAAAUUGCCAUUUACUUGGUAAAAUAUUCAAUGAGAGAGGUACAUUCUCAAGUUUGGUGGCUUUACAUGUUUGAGUAAGACGAUGAGUUUCUACAUAUAAUCAUCUUUAGUUAUUACAAAUCACUAAGCUGUUUCUAGUGGUGUUAGAAUAUGAGGUGUCAUGUUUGUUAUAUUUCUCAGACAAGAGUAAAUCACUCAGCUCCAUUAAUAGUUUUUUUUUUUUUGUUUUUUUGUUUAGUGUUUGUUUUAAUGGUGGUUAGUGCUUAAAUAUGAACCAAUAAUCUAGUCUCUAAUUUAUUGGAACUAUUCAUAUAAAAAAAAAUGAAAAAAAAUUGAAAAGGUGAUGGCAAAUUAAACAAAAAAUAACAACAAUAUUUGAAGGUUACAAUUUUUACUAUUCUUGUUCUUUCUACAGUCUCGAAAAAGAAUGCACAAAGGCAUGCACAACAACACAAUACAGCAGUAUGACUAUAAAGAGAGAUUGACACCACUCAUUUUACGCAUCGAAGGCAAUUUUUUACUUAAAAUUUACUUGCAAAUAUAUAUAUUUUUAAAUAUUAUAGUAAUUGAUAUUCUUGACAAACUUAGGGCGUAUUAAUUUGGAUGGAAGUUUGGUGACAAACUCACGAGUUGUUGUAACUAGAGAUCGCAGGCGUUUGGAUGUAACCACAAUCUCCGACUUUAGUGGGGUCCACGCGGCCAGUAAGCGCGAGACCAUCUCACGAGACGGCGAGUUUGCGUACGGUACGAACUCACGACUUCACACUCAUUACAUACGAAAUCGAGUUUUGUUGUACGGAUGAAACUUGUCAUCUUCUAUAGGGCGUAGUUCUGAUACAAUAAACUGACUCUUACAUAUCACAAUAUGAAAAAAAAAGAAGAAAAGAGAAUGUGUUAAUAAUAGUAAAGUAAAUAAUUUGACAAUAUUGUGGUGGUUCUUACAUACCACAAUAUGAAAAAAAGAAGAAAAGAAUGUGUUAACAAUAAUAAAGUAAAUAAUUUUACAACACUGUGGAGACUAUCAAAAUAAAUGUUUUUGACAGCAUUAAAAUAGUGUCCCAAUGUCUUGAUCUUUUUAAAGUGGUAGAGAGAUUGAUGGUUGAUUUGGUGUGACAUUUUUGCUUUUGGCUGGUUGGAUAAUGGUGUUAGUAUAGGUAACACAAAUGUCAUUUUUAAUUUUCAAAAAUGCAUUAUCAUCAGAAGCAGAAAAUAAAAGCACAAGUUUAGAGUGUAGGAAUGUAUUUGUCAAAAAGAAGAUGAAUUUGAAACUUGCCUAUGAAAUGGGCUGAGUCUGGUUCCAGGUCAGGUUGAUUUUAAAUAGUAAUGACAUAUGACUCAAUUUGAAAGCUGAAACUGAUCCCCACAGGGUAAUGGGCAAUGGGAGGGGGGUACAAUGUUCCCCAAUCCAGCUCGCUGCUCGUGAGCCGGCUCAUGUUCGACUCGAAAUAAGUUUAAGAUCGAAUCGCUCGUUUAGUAAACGAGCCGAAUACGAACUGAAUUUUUCAGCUCGUUUAAUAAACAAGUUGAGGUCAGCUCGUUUGUGUUUGGCUCAAUAAAGCUCGAAUAUAUAUGUAUCUGUAUAUAUAUUUCUACUAUUUGGAUUUUAGGGCAACUCAAAUGUAGAGAAACCUCUAUCUUGUAAAUGUUAUAGAUUAAAAUUCUAAUUAUUUAUUUAUAGUUUUCACCUUUAUACCUAGUAAUAAGGCUGGCGAUCUAAGUUGCUGUUCGUGAGCUAGCUCGUGUUUGGCUCGAUAAUAAAUGAGCGGAACACAAGAUAGAUUUUUCAGUUCGAUUUUUCAACAAGCUAGCUCGUGUUUGGCUCAUUUAUUAAACAAGCCGAACACGAGCCGGUCCUAUCUCACUCGUGUUCGGCUCAUUGACAGCCCUAUAUACACCACUGCUUAAAUGGGCCAAAGGCCCGCCAGGCUCGGCAUGGCCUCAAAUGUGGGUUGUGUCAUGUUGGGUUGGAUUUUCUAGACCGUCGGCCCAUCACGGCUUCCUAGCUCAGAUAUCUUCGUCUAUGCUAUUAGGCAAAAUCGACUUGUGGUAAAAACAUAUAGGAAUACACCUUUCAGAUUUCUAGUGGAACUAGAGAAAUGACAACAAAAAAUAUGUUUUUGCAUUGCUUUUGUGACCUACUAUCAGAGAUCUGGCUCAAGUCCCUAACCCAACUUCUCAAAGUGGGCAACCAAAAAGGCAUCAAACCAGCAGCCUUUUGUAAGAGAUAAAAGAUUAUGCAACUGUUGCAGUCAAAGCUUGCAAAAUUAUCAAUGAAAAUCUAAAAGUUAUAGGCAACCCUUGGGUUCAAAUCUCCCCGCGAUUCCAAACUUCAUAAAUUUAGUAACAGCUAAUCCAUCAAAUAGUCAUUAAACCAUCAACUAGAAUAGCAAAAUAAUACCUUUUGCAAACUACAUGGUAGUUGUGCAGUAUAACACUAAUGAAUAUGAAAAAGUAUCACUUUAAUUACUAUCAUGUUUAAGGACAUAUUUUUAGAUAAAAUUAAAAUAAAAUAAAAUUAUAGUUAAGUGUGAUUUUUUAAACCAGAGGUGACACAAAGUGAGAGUGCGCUAAAUUAUAGAGGGGGAAAUUGAACAAAAUCAACCUCAUCUUGGUUGCGUUAACCCAAGGAGUUCGAGUCAAGUUUCGAUAUCGCAUAAUAAUCUCGUCGCUCUGAAUAGAAAAAAUGUAGGGCACCCAUGGAAAGCGGAUGCUACGCCUUAGGAUAGGGUUGAAAGUGGUUAAGAUAAACUUCGAAUGAGUUCGACACUAUAUUCGAUAGCGUGCGAAUGCGAGAGUUAAAAUUUGGCAUUCGAUGCAAUAUUUGUAUUCAAAUUCGCAUCCGAAAAAAAUAAAAAUGGAUAUGAUUUCGUAAAAAAUCUGACCAUAUUCAACCAUUUUCACUACUAUGAGAUUAGGGGUCGUUAAUAUGUAUUGUAGGGACAUAAAGUAGGUUUCUAUCAUAUAUUCAUUUCUUUUACCAUAAGUUUUAUAUUAAAAUUAUAUUUAUGUUUAUUAAAAUAUUAAAAUUUAUUGAAUAAAGUAUUGGUACAUAAAAUUUGAACAUGAGUGUAAAACUUUAGUUGUAUUGUAUUUCAUUUAUGCUCACAAAUCUGAUUCAUGUACGAAUUCAAAUCCAUUUUUAGUGGACAUGGUAAUGAAAAUUUAGCAUCUGAUACAUAUUUAUAUCAGAAUUCAUACCCGAAGAAAAACAUCGACGAAGAUAUAGUUUUAUCAAAUAUUCGACCCUAUUCGGCCAUUUUCACCCCUACUUUGGGCUCUGUUUAAUUUGUUGUAUUUUUUAAAAUUUUAGGACUCUGAAAUUCAAAAUCCACUUCCUCUCUUGACUUUUUUUUCAUAUAAGUUUUAUUUUAAUUGACUAAAAAUAAAAUAAUGUAUACUAUCAAUCUCUAUCAAUAGGGCUAUUAUGGUGGAUUUAUUAAUAUAACCUAGUUACUUCCUUUCUUGAACCAAACACCAUAAUGAUAUUGCCUUAGGUAUUCCAAGAUAUGAAUUUUUUUUUAAAAAGUGAUAUAAUAGUGAAAUUCAAUUUUAGGAUAAUAAUUUGAAAAAAAUAACUCUUUGUAAAAAUUUAAAAUUCUGCGAACCAAAUAGGCUCUUAAUGAAAUCAUAUAAGUGUGCGCAAAGAGAAUUGAUAUUCCCAAAGCUUGUUUUGUUAUUGGUAGAGCGCAAAAGAUCAAAUUCAAGUUAAAUACAACGUAUAUAUCUUUCAAGAUAAUAAUAAAAAUAGCACCGUUGUACCGAUGUUUAUUUGCAAAUGACUUAUAGGCUUUUGAGUGAUCCGGAUUAUCUAUUUAUUCUUGGUGAGAAGUCCCUAAUUUCUUCGUAAAACACUCUGUUUUUUGCAGAUCACAAAUCACUUUCUUAUCCUUUCGCAUGGAUAUAAAAAAGUGCUCUUUCAAAAUAAGAUAAGUGCUUCUCCCCUUUUAUGGGCUCCAUUUAGAGACUAAACCUGAUGAUUCAAGCAAGCUAAUUGUGGACAAUAAAUUUACUUGUUAAAAUAUAGAACUUUGAUAGAUCAAGAUCAACAAACUACUAUCCCAAAUUAGAUACAAGUUUUUGUUGAUGUUGCAUGGGUUAGGGGCUUUUGGGCCCAGCAGAAGCUGUUUCUUCCAUUACAUAACUUUGAGGUUGAAAGGGGCUCUUUACUGAAAGCCCUUGAUGGUUUCUCUUUGAAGUUGGAAGUAAGUUGGCUUUUUUCUUUCUUACUUUCUGUCUUUCUUUCUUUUUUUCUUGAGAGAGAAAGUCAGCAUACAACCCGCUUUGUUUAUUUCUUUUAGAAAUAAACUUAGCUAAAAAUAUAAAGUAACUAGGCUUCGAACUUAGGACCUCGGAUACCAACACCACCAAGCAUUUUGCCACUUGCACUAGGGAUGGCCAGUGUGAGUUGGGUUCUUAAUCUGUAUUUUAGUGGAUAUGAAUUUAAAUACUUUUUUUUUUUUUGAGAGAGAGAUAGGUAGCACGUUAUCCGCUUCGUUUAUUUCAUUAGAAAUAAACUUACCUGGAAAUGUGAAUCAACUAGGAUUCGAACUUGGGUCUCGGGUACCAACCACCAAGUCUUUUGCCGCUUGCUCUAGGGACGGUCGGUAUGAAUUUAAAUACUUAUUUAAAUAUGCUUAGGGAUUGUUUGGUUUAUCUAUUUUAGACUGUAAAGUCAGUAUAGGAUUCAUUAAUUUCAAUAAUUAUUAUUUAUUUAUAGUAAUCGAAUUUUGACCCAUUCCAUCUUGGAAUGGGAAUGGGGCAAAAUCCGGUUUUAAAUUUCGAAUUGGUCCAUUCCAAAGUAAUCCACUUAAAACCCUCUCUCACGAACACUUCUCUCUCCUCUUCAUUCAUCACUCAUUCACUCUCUUUGUUAAUCAAAACUCUCUCUCAAAAUCUUAGAUGCUCUUUCCGAUUUACAUUCCAAUAAUGAAUCAUAUAUUUUUAGAUAAUUCGGUGUUCCAUUUUCCGUUCCAAUGAAAUUCAGUUUCAUUUUUCAUUCAUAUUCUAAUCAUGAACCAAACGUAUCCUAAAUGUAAUUGUUCUCUAUGUACUCUUUCGUAAUGUUCUAGUCUCAUUUUUCAAUUUGGCAUUAGUUUUAAACGAAUCUAUGCACAUAAAGAUACAAGAACAAAACUUAUUUUAACAUGCCUACAUCUUUUUUGAUUGGAAAAGAAUCUCUUAGCCCUUAUUUUUUUUGUCAAAAAUAACUCUAAUGUAGUGUGCACAUGACAUUGUUUUUUUGGGCCCAAUUUGAUACAUUAAUAAAAGUUAGGGAUCAUUAAUUAUUUCAAAAAAAAACCCUUCCUUUUGUUCUUAAGAGUUCUAGCUUCUUUCAAAUAAAUCUAUAGGAUUAAGUUUUGUUAGUCUAAUGUUAAAAUAAACCAUAAUCUCUACAAAAAGACUCAUUGGCCUUUUCUAAUUAAUGUGCCCUUCGAAAAGUUUAAACGAUGAAAUUUACCUUUCUAAAGUUUCAUUUUUUUCCCCUUCAAACUUAUUCUCCAUUUUAACCCGAGAUUAGAUUGAGUAUAAAGUUAAUCAAAAGAAAACCAGAGAUUAGCCGAUCGAAUGGUAUAUAUAACGAGCGAAAAACCAAUAGAGGGGUAGAUCUUAUAAUUCAAACUUUUUUAAAAGCAAAUAUGAAAGGCGAGUAGCUCCCAGUAUCCUAAAAGUUCUUCGAGAGCAUAUCUUUUCUUUUUUCUUUUUCUUUUUUUUUUUAACUUAAGAAUUAGAAAGCUCGAUUGUCUUAAUUUCAUUUUAUAAUGCAUGCAGGGGGUCAAAUUUUUGGCAUCUUAAUGGACAAGUCAGGCAACAACCACUAGACUAGCUCAGUGGUGGUUGAUCACAUUUUCCAAAAUAAGAAAAUCCAACUUAUCAUAAUAAUAAUAUAAUUCCUCAUUAAUGCCAAAUCAUUGUUUAGAUGUACCAAAUAAAAUUUCCCAUUAAUGCCAAAUCUUUGUUUAAGAGAAAAGUACAAGGAACAUUUUCCAACUCAACCCAUGUCAAAAAGAAAAAGCAAAAAAAGAAAAUAUAGAAUGAGACAUGACACAUGAUCUUAUGUUCUCUCAUGGACCAAUCUCUCUCUCCUUUUCUCUCUCUCUUUUUCUCUUAACAGUCGCACCAUACUAUUUAUAAUCAACCAAUCAUAUCUCUUUAUUUUAGAGAAAAGUACAAUAAAAAUAUUUUUUCUAAUAACUAUGAUGGGACGAAUGAACUCAAUAACAAUAAUCUGAUUAAUCGGUGACACCACAUCAGCAAUAUAACUGAUGUAUUCUAGAUCUCUUUCUUUCUCUCUUCUUUCACAAGCAACAUGGAGUAAGCUGUCACUGCCUCCCAACUCUCUGACAAGGACUUUCUCCUAAAACCAUGACUAAUAUAAUUAGCACACUAAUUGAUUCCAAAUACAUCAAUAAUUGGGCCUUUUUUAAAAGCUAUAAUCACUAAACAUGUCCCUUCCUGUCUAAUUAGUACUUAAUACAAUAAUUAAUGUACCAAAGUGACAAAAAAACCAUGUUUUUGAAACUGACACUUCCUUCAGUGUGAAGCCAACACAUUCAUUAUAUAUCCAUCAUCAUCAUUAUCACAACUCAUGGGAUCAUCUAAAGUGACUCUUUCUAGUCACCUGCCAAAUAAAUAAUGUUUUGGGCACACACCCAAAAAAAAAAAAAAAAAAAAAAAAAAAAACACCACAAAAUAAUAUUUGCUGUAGGAUGUAGUGUUAUUCGAUAAUAUAAUGUCGAUAUAAGAUUUUUGGAAAAUAUUUUAUGUUGAGGUCUGCUCUAAAAUAUUUUGUUGUAGCAACAAAAAGGGAAGCUUCGGAUUAAAAUUUUUAUUUUUAGAGCUGGAAAUUAUUGUUUUUUUUUUUUGUUAAAUAACAUUACAGCAGAACAACCACAGCUAAAAUGAAAAUUAAUUCAGAAAUAGUCAAUCACGUACGUAAUCAGACAUUGAAUGUUGUCAUAAAAAAUGUUGAUUUUUUUUUUUUUUUUUUUUUUUUUUUUUUUUUUUUUUGCAUCGAAACUUUCUUAUCAACUAUUUUGUGAUAUAUUAUAAGAAAUGCACCGUAGUUGCUCUCGGCAAAUAAUCUUUCUAUGCAUGUGGGAAAAGUUGGUUAGUCUGCCACUAGAGUCCGAAUGCUUCGUUGCUGCCGGACCCCUCAACUGUCAGGCUUAUCUGCUACUUCUUUUUUUUUUUUCCUUUUUUUUUUUUUUAUUUCUCUCUCUCUUUUUAAGGACAAUUUUAUGGAUGAGUUUUUAUUUUAUUUUAUUUUAUUUUUUUCAGAGAUAGGUAGCACGCUACCCGCUUCGUUUAUUUCAUUUUAGAAAUAAACUUAGCUAAAAAUAUGAAUCAAUUAGGAUUCGAACUUGGGUCUCGGGUAUCAACCACCAAGCCUUUUGCCACUUGCUCUAGAAACGAUCGAUAGAAGCUUUAAUUUUUUUUGUAGUUUAGGGCGGGCGGUGAAAGUGGUUCGGACAAACCCUAACGGGAAUGUGAAUGUGAAUAUCAAAAUUUAACAUUCCAUAUAUAUUCGUAUUUAAAUUCUUAUUCGAGAAAAAUAAAAUAAUAUGGAUGCAAAUAUUGUUUCUAAGAAAAACUGGCCAUAUCUAACCGUUUUCAUCCCUUAGAAAUAAAAGAGAUGUAAAUAUAUGUUGUAGGGAGAUAAAGAGGUUUUCUAUCGUGUUUUUUGUUUAUUUUAGUAUAAAUUUUUCAUGUUAAAAUUAUAUUUAUAUUUGUUAAAAUAUUAAAGUUUAUUGAAUAAAAUAUAUGUGUAUGAAUUUUGAACAUACGUGUGAACCUUUAAUUGCAUUAUACAUCUUAUUUUCCUAAAGUUUAAUUCGUAUUUAUAUGUGAACUAAAUUAGUAUAUGUUAUUAUCUGAAUAAUAUUGGAAUACAAAUUCUACUCUUAUCUAAAUUUGAAUUUGUUUUUAGCGGAUAUCCUGACACAUUUCCGCAUUCGAAUUCGCAUAGAAAAAAAAUAAAUGUGAAUAUAAUUUUGUCAAAAAUCUGAAGGUAUUCGACCGUUUUCACCUCUAGUUUACGGUCUAUUUAGUACUAAGGUUCUUAUAAAUAGAUCAAGUUAAGACAAAAGUAUACAAGAAUCUGCUCUUAAUAUUUUGGUAGGAUCAUAAACAAGAUAUCGCAAACGACUCAUUAUGAUAUGCACAACGUAAUAUUAUGUAUAUAUAUAUUCAUUGUAUUUUCUCAUUGCACGUAAUGUAUUUUGUCCAAAAUCUCACACGAAGCUUAGAGUGUUACAGGUCUUUUAUAAUGUCGCCUUUACAUAUUGCUGACGCGUCGCUAGAUUUAUGUGGCACUUUAGAAUGCGUGCAUAAAUUAAUUAAAAAUCUUCACAUCAUAGGUGUCAACAUUUCAACAGCAUAUAAAGAUAAUAUAAUAAUAAAGCCAAAAUAUUUUCUUUUUAUUUAUCCAUGCUCCUCUGAAGUUCAAAAUAUCACUAAUACUUUAAUUAAUAAACAAUAAAAGUAAUUAAAAAUACCUCUCUUGGUUGCCAGUUUUUUUGUAAAAAAAAAAUUUGACGGAGCAGUUACCAUCUUUGCAGUAGUAAACUAAAACUGAGGAAUUAGAUUUUUUUUUUUUUUUUUUUUCAAAAAGAAGAACUGAAAAAACAAAAAUAAAUAGACCACACAUUUAAGAAGAGGUUGAAAAAUUAAUGACAAAAACUAAAAAUUAACACAAUAUUCAUUAAAUAAUAAACUAAAAAACGAUGUGGAUCAGCACUAUGUUUUAUCCUAUUAUAAGGCUGUAAAGCAAAUAGGAUAGGAGAAGUGUGAUUAUUUGCAUAUUUAUAAAAUUCAUAUAUAUAUAUAUAUAUAUAUAUAUAUAUAUGAAAUUUAAAAUAUUGUGAGAUAUUUACCUUUUUUUCUUAUUUCUUUUAAUAUAAGUAACAGUACCUCAUUACAUUUCUUUCAUGUAUAAUAGCUUAACAUAGUUACUAAAGGACAAAUAUUGAAAGGACCAAAUAGAGUGUAUAAUAAAUAUGCACCAAAAUGAUUGAUUCAAUUGAAUGGCUUGUGGUGCCACAUCACUUUGUGAUUUGUGUGGAUCUUUUGAGGAGAUACUCUUUUGUCUUGUUUCAAGCAAAGGUUGAGAAGCUUCUACAUUAGAAGUUUGUUCAAUCUUUGUAUUCAUAACUGAUUUUUAGAGUUAGAGUGGAAGGCUCUGAAACAAAAAAAUAAUUACAGUGAAAAAAAAUGUGAGCCUUUAUAUAUGUAUUAUAUUCUGUGUGAAAACGAAACCAAAAUCAGAACAAGCGUAUAUUAAGUCCAAAAAAUAUUAAUAAGUAGACGAACAAAUCUAGUACUGAAAACUAUCUCAAUAUUAACUCGAAAUUUAAAGAUAAAACGUAAUAAACCAUUCACUGAGAAAUUAUUGACAUUAUAACUAAGUACAGACUGCAUCUUUAUAGGGUUAGUUCGGCAAGACUGCAAUGGAAAUCACUCCACCUUAAUCGCUAUCAUGAGAUGUCAUCCUAAGUGAUUCAGGCUUCGUUUGGGAUUGCGGGGAGAUUGCCUUACGUGCAGUGAGAAAGUACGUUCGAAAAAUACUCUAUUUGUUUCCAUACGUAAUAUUGCGUUCCGCAUAUCGCAAUGAGUCGGUUACGAUAUAUUUUCUGCGGUCCCACCGGAGAACGUAGAAGCAUAUCCCUAUAUAUUUUUUCCUCAACUCCAUUUUAUCUAAUAGCGUUAGUUAGACCUCAAAACCAAACUAAGCCUCAGUACCAAUGCAGCGGUCGCUCGAACAAAUGCAAAAUAGAUUUUAUAGUAAGCAAAGUCAACUUCGCUCUACUCAGCAAACGUUUCGUUAGAGCAUUGCUUUGUACAAAACUGCUUUCAAACGCAUUGAAAUUGCAGUCAGAUAGGCUUGCGGCAGCAAAGCAAAUUUUCAGGCCCCCUCUACUCAUGAGGUUAUCAUGAGUUUGAGUUUUCAUCAAUAUUUACCUAUCUUACUAUGUUGCCCAAACUUUCCAGCGAGUCACCUUUCUUAGGAUUACUCAAGUCUUAGCACGCUUAACUCUUUUAACCUUUUGGACCUAACCACCGUCCAAAAUGUUAUAACAGGGUUAAGACAUUUAGUUCUAUUACAUCUUAUAUAUAAGACUAUUUCAAAUUUUGAUGUCUCACAUUCUCUUUCUCCUGGCUUAGCCGAGACUUAUCUUACACUUUCGGAUGGUAAUUGACUUUGAUACCAAGUGUGAUGCCCAAAUUUUUCAAGGAGUACGUCAUCCAUUCUAAGACUACUCUAGUCCUAACACGUUUAAUUCUUUUAACUUUUUGGGCCUAAUCAUGGUCUAAAAUACUAUAGCCGAAUUAAGAGAUUUAGUUAUAUUAUAUCUUAUAUGCAGAGUCAUUUCAAAUUCUGGGACCUCACACUUAUUGCCUCUCCUAUAUAUGUGAACAAAUCGUAUGAAUUACAUGAUCUCUAGAGGGAAUACAUGAAUAAGAGUGUUAAGAGUAUGUUUAAACUAUUUUAGAUUUAAUUGAUUUGUUGAGGGAGGGGGGAGAAUCAAAUCAAUAUUUCUAAUAAAUGUCAUUGUCUUCCAUUAUUGGAAGGCAUUGAGUUGGUGUUGACCAAUUGAGCUACAGAUGGUACAAGUGCACAUGUUCUCUUGCCCAAGCCAUGGAAAAGAAUAGUCCUCUCCAUGAAAUGGGUAUGGCUCUUGUGUCCCUAUCCAUAGUAAAAAAAAAAAAAAAAAGAAGAAAAAUAAUAAAUUAUAAAAAAUUUUCUUAUAAAUAUUUAUUUAUUUAUUUAAAUUUUAAAAAUUCAUAUUUUAUUUUGUUAAUAUUUUAAAUUAUUAUAUUUAACCUCCCUUCCGUUAGGAUUUCAUUACUAAUCCAUUCAUUUUUUAUAAUCUAUAUUGAAAAUAUCAUUCGAAAUGACAUAAAUAUAUUAAAAAUUUACCUUUUUCUUAUAGAUAAGUAAGAGCAAUUUGGUCAUUUUGCAUUCUUAAUUAACGUUGUAUCCCUGAAAAUAUUUUUGAAAUUUCUAAAAGUCAGGAAGAGAUAGUAAAAAAGUGGAUAUUUACAGGAAGAUUUUCUGUAAUUUAGCCAAAAAAAAAAGGAAAAAAGUGAAUAGAUCUAUGACCCUUUUGGUAUGAUUGCAUUUUUUUUUUUUUUUAACUUGUGAACACAAAUUAUACAUAUUAGAAUAUGUUGGCUAUGUAUCUUUUCUUUUAUUGUCAUGUAUGGUUGGUUAAGUUUAAAAUUCAUCCCAAUCAGUAAAGAAAUAACAACUUAACAAACAAAAAUAGAAAAACAAAAAAAAAAAGUUGCUACAAAAUAUUUUGUUUAAUAUUACCAAGUCAAUAGUUUGGAUAUAAGUAUUAUUGUAAACAAUUCUAUGUUCAAAUUUAUGUUCUUUCACAAGAGAAUAUAUGAGAGAAGGCUCAAAACAUCAAUUAACACAUAUGCCAUUAGAGAAGGUGUGAUUUCUAAAAAAAUUAAUAUGAUUUCACUUUUAUCCCUAUGGUUUCAUUUUAAUUUCGCAAAUUUGAGUUUGAUUUCAUUUUUAGCCCUAAGUUUAACCUUAUUCUUUGUAGUUCCACCUCAGAGCUCUAGUUUAAUGAAUGACUAUAGGAAGGGCUCAAUUUCUACUGCCCAAAAUUUAAAAGUAAAAUCAAAAGAUUAAAAUCAUAAUGAUUAAAUUGAAAUCAGAAUCAAAUAAAGUUCUUGGACAAAUCCGUAACUAAUCCAUAAAUGUCGUUUUAGAGGUUUAGAUGUCGCCACUAAAAAACCAUAAACAAAAAGCGGCUUUUGUGGAUUAAUUGUAGACGCGUUGGAAUCUUAAUGUGUCACGCGCAGAUUGUCUUGUAUAACAUAGUAUAACAUAUAUCGGCAAUAAAAGAGGUCCAAAUUAAGGCCUCAACAGGAUGAGAAUGGUAGAAAACUUAUACUUGAUGCUAACAUUUCAUAGAUCUAACCACAUUUAAUCAGUGAAUAGUGGCGAAAAUAAAUGCAUAUGUAUAUAUACAUAUAUAGAGCAGAGCUACUGUGCUAUUAAGAGCAAAAUAGCUCUUGUGCUUUUAGGUUCAUAACCAUUCAUUAAUUUAAUUUUAUGGGUAAUUAGGGUGAGAGAGAAGAGAAGAGAAAUUGAAAGAGAAAUGAAAUAUUAAUCUUAACUAUUCAUCAAAAUUGAUAGAUGGUUAUGAACUAAGGGGCACAAAGGCUACUGUGGUCCUCAUAGUACAGUAGCCCUACUCUCUCUCUCUCUCUCUCUCUCUCUCUCUCUAUAUAUAUAUAUAUAUAUAUGUGUGUGUGUGUGUGUGUGUGUGUGUGUGUGUGUGAGUAGAGCUAUUAUACUUUCGGAAGCAUAAGAAAGUUAAUACUUCUAAACUUUAGCUCUUGAAUAAACCUUUUUGACCAUUUCUGACAUUUGGAUUAAUAUUAUUACCCUAAAAGGACCACUUAACCCUAAAAGGACCGCUCAACCAACACCAAGGGGAACCACUAUCAUCCGACCCUACAAUCCUUAAUCCAAAACCAAACAGUCGAAAGCACCAACUCUCUUAUGCUUUCAAAAGUAUAGUAACUCUACACUAU
RNAcentral lists this long non-coding RNA (80213 nucleotides) under Ananas comosus (pineapple). RNAcentral describes it as "long non-coding RNA (ACOM_LNC033045)". The record is from RNAcentral. Lineage: Eukaryota; Viridiplantae; Streptophyta; Magnoliopsida; Poales; Bromeliaceae.